UGCUUUCCAUAUUUGUUGGUCUUCCUUUUAAUCACUGUAUCCAUACUUGCUAUUGGACUAUGAAUGUGUAGUUCUAGACUUUGAGGUAAUUAAAUGAUCCUCUUUGUCGUUCAAAUGCACAUAGUUUUGUUUUCUUGCUUUAUUUGUUCUUAGCUCACUGUGCUUUCUUGCUUAUUGUAUAUGUGAUCCCACUUGCUUAUGGUGUAGCAUGUACUAAAUCAUCCUUCUUUCGCUAAUAUCACUUUUUUACUAUUACCUAAUAAGGUUCUUUUCUUUUUUUUUUCUGUUUGUCUUCAAGGACAGUAGAGCCACAUGUUUAUUUUUUCUUUAUCAUAAUUGACCCUUCGUGUCAAGCUAAACUCAAGCACAAAUACUGAUAUUGAUCAUUGAGAUUGAUGUACUGAUUGUUUGCUAGUCAGGAGAAACUCAAUUUUCAGGUCUUUCCAUAAGUUUUUUGAAAUAAAAAUUGAAGGUAAGAAAUGUAGGCUAUUGCAGAGCUCCUUACCUAUGUGACCACUGCUAGUCGAUUGUUGUGUUAAUAUAUCAGUCCAUUUAUCAUCUAGUUCGUGUAUGGAUAUCAUUUGAAUGCACUGCCAUGUGAAUGUCGUUUAAUAUCAUCUAUAAAAAAUAUGUUGUAGCAAAGGUCCUUUUUCCGUUCACUAGAUACAAGCGAAGUUGAUCACUUCUCAUAACCUUUAUGAUAUCGAAUUUCACCGAUUUUCUCAAGCAAGGCAUAUCAUAUAUUAAUCUGAACAACUGGUUGGAUAGAGCCCUAAAUGACCUUUCUAUCCUGGAUUCAGCUUACAUCUACAUCAGGAUCAAGUACCUGCACAAAUAGGAGGGAUGGUGUAAAGGUUCAAAAUUUUCCAGUUCACUGAACCGAAGAAUACUCAGGUUAAAUACUUCGAUUCCAUGUGAAAUAUCAAUCUUUGUAAAAAAAUUUGAGAUAUUCUUUGCCAACGAAAUCAGUGAGGACGUCACUAUGAGUCCCUGGAUGCGUCAGAGCUGCUUUUGGGAUCUUCUUCUUAAGCCUGGUUUUUGUACAAUGAACCUCAGAGAUGCAGGGUAUGCCACAGGGUAGAGUGGUUGUGCCUAGUGAAGCAGUUGUGCUGCUUCUGAGCUGUGGAAAUGGAUGGCAUUGUGAUGCAGGGAUGGAAGACAGAAGAGAAGACUCUAUCACUGUAAAUCUAGAUUGAGUUGGUCAGGUUUCUAAUACUCGGAUUAUCUAAACCUUCACCGCCAUGAAGUCUGCUUGCUGUAAAUCUCUUUCUUUAAUCCUAGUUGCCUUGAAUUAGUAGUCUGCUACAUGGUGUAUUAAGGUGGCAGCUGUUAGAAGAAAUAUUGUCGACAGAUGUUGGAAUUGGAAGACAGAAGAGAAGACUAAGUCCCUAUGUAUAAGACACUAAAACAAUGGAGGAGAAACUGAGGUUAUUCACUCAGGGGAAGGAGCUCAUCCAGGAUGGAGUCAUUUACUCAAAUUUUAUGGGUUGAUGAUAAAAUGAGGUUAACCGAUAAAUGUACAUGCUUGCCUGUAGUAUGUAAGGAUGGGUGAAAAUAGUUUUCCAUUUCAAUCAUGCUGCUCACUCUUCUUUCUUUUCAUUAAGGGUAUUGACAAUCUUAAAAUUAGUAUAUCUACUAGAUAGAUUUUAUGAAAUGGCAAUCACAAUGGAUCAACCUCUCAUUUGACUCACUUGCCAUUUUGGUUAUAUAUGCUUCUUCAUGGAAAGCAGAGAGUUCCACAGUUUCGUGAAUAUUGUGCAAAGGUCAAAGAGCGCAUAGGGGAUGCAUCCGGUGCACGUAGUUCUUUGCAGUACAGCGAUACAGAGUUACUGUCCAAUUUUGUUGACAACAUCAAUCAACAAGCAAACAUGGAAAAGCGUCUUGUAAGAAAAUUUCUUGUAUUUAGUUGAAACAUCAUCCAGGUAAAAUUGAGAUGAUCAUUGAUAAGUUCGUUUUUCAGGGAAAUAUUGGAGCAGCUUAUUCAAUCUACGAUAAUGCAAUUCAAAUGCUUAAAGAUAAGGAGGAUCUGCACGUUUUUUGUCUUCUCCAUCUGCACUUUGCCAGAUUUGCUUACUUGGUGGGGACUUUAGUACAGUUUGAGAGAAAUUAUCUUCUCACGUUAUAUACUUGCACACUACUAAAAUGCCUGUGACAUAACCACGUUACAAGACUGAAGAAUGGACUUUAUUCUUGACAUGGAUAGUUAUUUUAUACUGGGGCUCAUAAAACGCCGUAGUACAUUUUUCAUUUUCUUUCUUGAAUAAUUAAAACUGAUUUCUAAGUAUAUUGGUUGUUUCUGUUUACUUUCUACGUGAACAUCAAGCUCGCGUUAAAAUGAGUGCAACUGAACCUAAUGUCUUGAUAAUCUAAAUUUAAUAAUGAUUUCAUUGGACAGCUCAGAAUGUGCCGACUUGCAAUAGGUUUAGGUGUUAAACAACAUCUGUUGUUUAUAUAUAUCAUGUCUAUGGUAUGAUUCGUUUGUGUCGAACAUUGUCUCAAAGGAUUUCGCUGUAUUUCCUCGGUUUGAAGAUGAAUCAAAAGGUGGAAUCAGAUUGCGACUUUGAUAUUCGUUCUUUGGAUGAGGACUUUGGAUGAAUUUUAUGGUAUUUUACUCAAUUCAAGGAGAUUUCUUCUCCAGGUGCAUUGUAUCGUUUGUUCAGGCUUGCCAUACUGAAAAUAAUAAGCAUAUGUUCUCUCCACCUUAUUUACAUUUCGUUGGUAUUUCUGUAGUCUCCUUUUGGCAUGGUCUUUUGAUGGCUUAUUCUUUCAUAAUAAAGUGAAUUUUCCCUGCCUUAAUAGCCUAGGGCCACUCUUGAAUUUUUCUAAGUCCUUCGUGAAAGGGAAACUUUCUAUUUUUUUUGGCGUUUUCCUUAGGGAAACUGUCUGUUUAUUUGAGUCUGUCAGUCAGGUCUCCAAUAACAAAAAGGGAGUCUCGUCUUCAUUGUAAACACUUUUGAAUGAAUGUGGCUUAUGGGCCUAUAUCCUGAAUGAUUAACUGGGAUACUUAUCGGAGACAGUGUGAGGUUAUGCUCUAGUUGAUUCAGUAAUAACAAUUCUACAAUGAAGGAUACUCUUAUUAAGAAUUUUCUUGAGAGAGAACGGUAUUCCAUUUCAUUAGGAUUAUCCGUCAGCUUAAAAAUAUAUUUUCAUUUUACCUUUAGUUCAUGAACGUGUCUGGAAUUGUUCCCAGCUUACUUUAGCACCGCUGAAUAUUUAUAAUAAAAUGAAUUUAAUUGUGUAAACGUUCAGGGAAUGUAAAUACUUUGAAAGAUGAUUCAAUUAAGAGAAAUAAAGAUCCAUUGUCAACAUGGUAUCAGAGAAAUCUGUUGUCAGCAUUGUCAGCAUUGUCAGCAUGGUAUCAAUUCUCUGUGAAUAAGCGUGAUCCCAAUUAAUCGAAAAGAAUGCUUUCAAUAAGAGUAAUCUGUUGUAUUUGGUGCACAAAAUUUAGUUCGAGUUCUCAAUAGGUUUGGAUCAUUAAUUGCUUUGUUCCUGCUUCGGAAUUUCAUGACAAUAAUGUACAAGGAGACAGUUGGCAAUUGGGAAAUAGUUGUCAUACUCAUUAUCCUGAUCAUCUUUGGACUGAAUUCUACUUAUAUGUCUAUUGCUUUUCUGACCUAGAGUUCCACAUAAUUAUUCUGCUUGAUUUGUCCUGGCUAAAAAUAAAACUUAAUAAAAACAGAAAUCAGUUCAAAAUAUUUAUGUUAUCUGAAGUCCAUUCACGUCGUCAAUUACCGUGUACAUUCACGUUGACCAAUUGAAAGUGAUCAAUCUCAAAGCUUCCUGAGGAAAAAAUAUGAUAGUAAAAUUAUAUAUCCACGGAUGAUUCAUUUUUUUGUUACUACCGGUAUGUUCAAUAGAAUUAAUUUUCGAUUUUUCUCAUGCCUAUUAUCUUUCAGGUAACUGGUGAAUUAGGUGCUGCCAGAGAGGUUUUUAUCAAAGGGAUAUCAAGGGCACCUCACUGCAAAUCACUUUUUGAGGUUAUAUCAUUGAUCUCUUUUUGUGUCAAUUAAAUUCGAUUCCUGGCCCCCGUUUCUCUCGUCAACAAACGUUUUUCUCCAAAGGAUUUAACAGUCUGGUAUCAAAAGCAGGGGUGUUAUGAAAUGCAUGCUGUUCAAUAGAAGGCUACUUUAAAGUAUUUUGAAGUGUAUAUAUUUAAUUAAAAAAUUGUAUGUAAAAUCUGCAUUUCGAAUUUUUUUAAUGGUUAUAUUUUUUCAAAAAUCAUAUAUUAAAUUACCGCAGUUAUGCUUUUAAACUUUUAGUUUGAAUUUUCCUUGUUCUCAAAAUAUUAAGUCCCUAAGAAAUUACAUGUGUGUGCUUGUUAAAGAAGGAAUAGCCAUGCUAAUUGCAAGAGGGGCAAGGACGAAGAAGAGGAAGGAAAGGAAGUUAAACGAAAAACGAUCAAAACAUGACAAAACAGCAAAAGGGCACCUUUACGAAUCAUAUUUUUUGCCCUUUUAAGGGCAGUCAGUUCCUAUGUUUCUGUUCUUAUUAUAUGAUUGAUUAUUCUGUUAUGAUCUUUCUCCAGCAUUUAAUUUUUCUCCGAAGUACUUUGACUGGCAACUAGAUUAGGAAAUCUACAGCUUUACGGUUCUUAAAGUCAUAGUUACAUGAAUUUUUGGUGCUCUCUGCUCGUAAUCGGGCCAUCAAGUUCUUUACUAUUUUUUUACUUGUACAGGGAUUAAUUACAUUUAUGUCUAUCCAUGGGGGGACAGGAGAAAUUGGUUAUGUAGAUUCUAUUGUGGAACGUGCCAUAGUUCCAGAAUCAGGUGUGUCACUUGCAUUAAGCCUUACCGACAGAAGGGACGUGUCUAAUUUGUUUUUGCAGGUAUGCCAUCCUAUGCCAUUUGUAUUAUUCUGCCCUUUCUGUUUCAAGGAAAAUAGCCACUUCCCAUAAUACCUCACUAAAAAUGAAUCGUUUGCUGGGGUGGGGCCAUAUAAAGUAAGCAAAGCAGAGCUUUCUUCUUCCAGUUUCCAACGCACCAUGUGACGCUAGGGGUACUUAUAAUGCCAGAUAUCUCUGCAAUAUUUUUCAGUCGAUUUUGGAUUACCUAGUGAAGGUUUGAUUAAAAUCUUUGCGCCGCAGUGUCACUAAACAUGAAUUCUCAGAGGAUGCAGCAGCCAUUAAGACUUUCGUUUAAGAAUUUAGGGUUUUGUGAUUAAGAUUUGGGCUUUUCAAAGUUGAUGCUGGAUUUGCCGUGGAUCUGUCCUAUGAAGUUAAUGAUCCACUGUUAGACAGUUUCUACAGAAUUCAUCUCAAUUGAUAAAGCUGUGCUAGUUGGGCUAGUGAUUCUAUUUCUGUGCAUCUUGGAAUCAUUUUACUUUUUAUGAGGGCGUCAUCUUCUCCAGUACAGAAACUAUAGUGUGAUUUGUGGGUCAGCAAAAUAUUGCACAGCGAAUAACGUUGCACAGUGACCAACCUUAGGCCGGUAUGGGCACGCAGAAAUGGAGGGGCUGUUGAUCUGAUGGCAUGAUAUUAUAGUUACCCGCCUCGGCCUUAAGCUUCAUAAUUGAUGUUGAUGUGUGCCAUAUAUACAUGGGUUUAUUAUUAUUAUUAUUAUUAUUAGUUCACCCUUUAUCACAGGAUCUGAUUCACUGACAUUCAGCCUUGUGGGUAGCGAAUCGCCGUCAUUGUCCAGGUGACUAUGUGUAGAUAUUUUAGUGUAAUUUUCUCAUAGAGAGUUAUUUUCCAAACAGUUUGUGGACCUUUGUGGGACGAUCCACGAGAUCAGAAGGGCCUGGGCUCGACACCUGAAGCUGUUUCCACCUGCACAAGAAGCUGCUCCACUCGGUCGCCGUGCCGACGGUCCUGAGCUUUUGGAGAAGACCAAGGAGCUGACUGGUGCAGGAGACCCCGAUCUUAAGCCUGGGACAGGUCAUGCAGAUAGAGAGGCAUCAACUGAAGAAGAUGAUGCCCGCUCUUCAAAGAGAAAUCUUCUCCUCCUGCAGGAGGGGCCCGCUGCACCGGCCACCAAGUCUCAUCCAGCCGUCGCUGGUGACAGUACAGAGGGGAGCCCAGACCGUUCGCGGCUCCCCAGUGAAGAAGAGGAGCAGGCUAAUCGUUUUCAGGCUAUUCGGCUGCCUGCAGGCGCCGCUGUGCUGCAACAGGAAGCUCAUUCCUUCUCUUCUCUUGGUCCUGCUGCUUGCUCCGUACGCGGCGGAGGGGAGCGAACCCCACCGCUGCCGGGCUGCAAGACUCAGGACGAUCUAAGACCAUCUCUGGAGAGCCUUUCCAUAUGUCUUCCUGAUGAAGGUCAGGAAUCCAGCCCGAGCUCUCCUCGCAGAGGCCAUGGAGCUCCUCAGCCCCCCUGUGGGGAGAGCGGGCGCGAUGUUUGCAGUGACAGUGAGGCUAAAACAGCCCAACACAGGGCAUCUACAAUGCCAGCUACACCGAACAGUCGCACGCCGGAGCAAAAUCUUCGCCAAGAAAAAGUAAACGCCUUUGACAUAAGCCAACUGCCUGCAGAAGAGGCCGCUGAUCCCAAAUAUCCUCGGACCUCUGAAUGGCACUAUGGCGGGCAGCCCUCUGAGCUUCAACCCAGCUUAUCUGGAUAUGCCCAAACUCCACAGCAUCAGCAAUGGCAGGUUCCUAUGCAAUUUCAGUAUCUUCCGUACUCUGGAUUUAAUCCACAAGCUCCCCCACCUCAGGCAUACGCGUAUCAGCCACAGUUUUGGCAGCCAAAUAUCCAAAUGCCCGGCCAGAUUCAGGGCCAGUAUCAGAUGACUGCGGGCCAGGGAUUACCUCCCUGGCCCAUGUUCUGGCAAGCACAGAGUCUACCACAGAGCGGUGGAGAUGGAAGUCAGCAUCAAAUAUAUCAAUAUCAUUUGCAGGAUGGCCACGCUAUCUCCCCUGAGUUCUGGCAUUACUACCAGCAGCAGCUGUAUUAUAUGCAGCAUCUGCAGCAAGGUAGCAUCCAGGUGCAGCAGAAGCAGGAGCCUGGCCCGCAGCAGAAAAACGCUCCGUUGCAGCAUGAUCCUCUGCGACAGCAACAACAAGAGGAGCAACAUCAAGAGCAGCAUCUUCAGCUGAACAUCCUUCAGCUGCGGCAUCUACAAAAAAAAAUGGAAAUGGAUCAUUUGCAGUGGCAGGGCCAGCAACAGGAGCUUCGCCAAGCCCAGGAUUCGCAUUUGCAGCAUCAUUCACAGCCACGAUGCCAACCAGACGACUCACCUGAGUCUUCACCCACGCAGGAUCCUCCAAAAACACGACAAGACCAGCUAGAGCAGUAUGUGCAGCACCAAUCCAUUCAGCAGAAGGAUCGGAUGAUCCUGAGCCGCCAGGAACAUCAACAGCAGAUGUACUUGCCACAGCUGCAACAACAACUGCAGAAGCAGGAGAUCGGGACCUUGCGGGAUGCUAAGACCUCGAGAGAGAGUUACAAUUUAGAGGUAUCUAUCACCUGUCUUGUCUUCGUGCUAUAUUGCAGCCGAGUCUUGGAAUCAGUUUCGAAAAUUUUGACCUAAUUCCCGACGUAAAAAUCUUCUUAGGAUAUUGAAUGCUCUCUUCUCCUGAUAUAAUGUCCUAGCUUCUUCGAUUGAGUAUCAGCUGUAUGCUUCUGUGAAUUCAAAAAAGAUUACAUCACCGGCGCAUGAAUAGAAACUAAUUGGGCCAUGUUGCUCUUCAGAUUCAAGCACCCACUCGAGUUGCCGAAGAAGACGGCGCUGUUCAUCCAAUACCUGAGCCGCCGAAUGCCCCGAUCCAAUGACCCGCAGGUGGGAGAGCAGCUUUGCAUUGGCUUCAUUUGUUACAGUGAGGUCCGCAUCCGGCCUUCGUUGCCCAAGUUCAGACCUCUGGUCCGCGGAUCGUCCGUCAUCCAGCAGAUAACUCGCGAUUUGAAGGCCAUUCUGAAUCUGGCAGAAGCAGCGUCGCCGUUCGAAGCCGCUGAAGCAAUCUCCAAGCCCGCGCCGAGGAAGAGCAGCCGAGCUUCUCCGAGAAAGGGGGCUCAUCGGGCUUCGUCUUCUGGCAGAGCUCCUCCCGAGUUCCCUCUUUCUUUUACUCGGACGACUGAACUGGACCCCGCGGCCCUCAAAUCCCCUAUAAUUGUUGGAUCGACCCCCCUCGCGGGGAUGGAAACGCAAUGAUCUUCGAUGCGAGGGGCUUUCCUGCAAGGAAGACCCGAAGAGCGACCCGGAUGGGAAUAGUCAACGCUCGCAGGGCCCCCGAUUAUCUCUCUCCGCGCCCCCCCCUUUGACUAUCUCCACACACUCCGAGGAACGGCGCCUCCCGGCGGAAUCCUGCGGCAGAUUCUCUCCCUCCCUACUCCGGUCCGGCCCGUUGAAGAAGAGGAAGGGUCGUCCCCAUCGAUCCCCACUCAGCAGAUCCGAAUAUGCCGAGGAAUGCUCUCUCUCUCUCUCUCUCGCGCGCGCGCGCGCGCGCUCGCUCGCUCGCUAGCACUGCGUCGGCGAGUCGACCCCGUCCUCCGGCCGGCUGCACAUUGAACACCCGCGGCAUAUCCCCGGGCAUAUUCCCGGGGGAGCCCCAGCCGGUCCUGCUGCUGCUCCUCCCCCCAACUUGCUCUUUGAAGACGACGCCGUGCCGUACUGUGCCGUGGGAGCAGCCAAUGCGGGGGGGGGGGAGGGCCAUUUAGGAUCGAUCCCCUCCUCUCUGACGACGGCGGCGCCCUCGUCCGAGCUCGCCUAGGGCGCGGGGUUCUUCCGGCUGGCUGGUCGAGGCGGCGGAGGAUGAAGUUCGGGAAGCGGCUAAAGCGGCAGAUCGAGGAGACGCUGCCGGGGUGGCGGGACAUGUUCCUCUCGUACAAGGAUCUGAAGAGGCAGGUCCGCCUCAUCUCCUCCGACGCGCCGGGGAGGGCGUUUUCAUCGCCGCCGGGGAGGGCGGCGGUGUUGGAGUUCGUCCGCAUGCUGAAUGCCGAGGUGCACAAGCUCAACGUCUUCUUCAUCGAGCAGGAGGAGGACUUCGUCAUCCGCCACAAGGUAGGGGAGGAGAAGAGAUUGCUGGACGGCGGCCGCGGUGCUUCCUUCUCCUGAUCCGGAUCGGUGGUCUCUCCGCGCAGGAGCUGAGAGACAGGAUACGCGCCGCGGAGGAGACGGUGGGGCCUGGGAGCGCACGGCCGUCGGCGGCGGAGUACGCGGCGGAGAUGGGGAGGAUCAGGAGGGGCCUCGUCGACCUCCACGGGGAGAUGGUUCUGCUCGUGAACUACAGCAACGUCAACUACACGGGUCCUCUUCCUCUCUGAUCCUCGUCAACAUAUCUCAGAUCCUUUAGAUUCUUUCCUCGCUCGUUCUCCAAGUUUUUCUAGCAGAAUUGGCAAUUAUCGUCGGCGAUGAUGAGGAAUCAAUCGAAUCUACCCUGGCCGCGACAGGGCUGGCGAAGAUCCUGAAGAAGUACGACAAGCGGACCGGGGAUCUGCUGAGGCUCCCGUUCAUCGAGAAGGUGCUGACGCAGCCCUUCUUCACCACGGACCUCAUUUCGAAGCUGGUGAAGGACUGCGAGAGCACCAUGGACUCGGUGCUCCCUUCCCCGCCGCAGAAGAACCUGGAGGGGAGGGAGCGCAGAGCCAGAGCAGUGGCCCUCCCGCAUCGGCGGCCCGCCGGAGUAUCGUCAGGAACACGGUCGCCGCCCUCGUGACGAUGCAGGAGCUGCGGCGAGGGAGCUCCACUUACGGGCACUUCUCCCUCCCCCCGCUGAGCUUCCCCGAGACAGAUCUGCUGCAGGCCCUUCAGCUCCCAUCGCUCAUCUCCAUUCAGUGAGUGAGAUCCAUGAAGAAGCGACCCAUUUUAGCAGACACCCCCCCCCCCCUUCUGGUUCCAGACGACGGGGCGUGACGGAGGAAAAUCAGGGUCGCCCGGAGAAAGGAGAGGCCUUGUUAUCGACAGUCAGUAGUUCUUCUUUCGACGUGCUCGUCGCGGGAUGGGGGCUCUGAAUCGCCUCCCCCUUUGCUCCCCAUUAACGCGCUGGUUACUGGAAGAAGAAGACCUCCCUCGGUUGCUGGUAGCCGUGUUGCAACUAAUUAAAUGAAUAUUAUUUUUAUUCCGAUAUCUUUCAAAUCUAGAUAUUUUCCGAAUAUUUUCAAAUCUAGAUAUCUUUCCUCCAUUUUAUUAAAACUUGUUUAUUUUUUAACUGGAAGAUGGGUUUUUUUUAUUCUGCGAGAUAAGCGCCCACUUUUUAUACUUUCUUUGAUUGUGAGCCUUCACGAGUACUGGUGGCUGGCGCUUGAGAACCUCCAACUUGACAUGGUCAACAGUCAAGGUUAGGCGCGUGCAUGGAUGAAACCACAAAAACGGGUCCAAACUAGAUGACGUUCGUCCACCUGUCGCUUCCACAUACGCGUAUGGGUAAGUUGACCCAAGAGAGAGAGAGAUGGUGACGUCACUUCGAAGUUGAGUAGGCUGCAAGUCAUAGCAUCCACAAAAGGUAGCUACUCAAUAAAGGUCGGAAUCGUCAAAGUGGUGCAAGCAUGUUGUGGGUUUUGCUUCUAUCAGAAUUCAUGUAUCUUUUUUGUAGUUUCAAGAAGAAGGAAAAAAGUUGCAUCUUUUGCAGCCUAAAGGGUAGAACAAGCCCAACCCAUGUUGCCAAUUUUCGUACAAUUGAUAUUUUCAAUAUAUUUUUUUAUUGAAUUUUAGGUCGUCUAACUACAUAGUGGUUUCCCAUCCCAUGUUGAAGAUUAAUCUUUUGUUAAAAAAUAAAAUGGCUAGCAAAAUAUUUUGCAUUAAUCAUAGGAAACCAAGAAGUCAACUAAAUUAGUUUCAUUAACUUUUUCAUUGAAUGCAUGUUGGGCUUAUUGAGGCCAAAAAGAAAGAGGGUAGGGCUAUUUAAUAUUCGGCUUUCAGAUGGGUAAAGUUGGAAAUAAAUUAGAUGUAACAAAUAAGGAACAUUAUAAUUUAGGUAAAGUGGGCUCCCUAUCGACAAUCAAGGUGAUAACACAAGUGUUGCUCAUAAUCUAUAUUGGUUCCUGUUUUAUUUCCCCACUCAACUCUUUACAAAUGUUUUGUCCUAGCUCAACAUUGUUAGGAACUCUUUACUUAAAGCCGCUGGUUGCCACUAAGAGAUUUUUACCUCUGUAGAGAAGAUAGUCUAUGAAAAAAAGCUAAGUUGAACCCUCAAGCAUUAGUUCCAAACCUUCAUUUUAGUUUGACGUAUUAACAUAGAAUAUAAGUUGUUGUGUUAGCUUCAGCACCCAAAAGCAUUAUUCAAUGAGAACUGAUUUGGAGAACCAUUUACUUGUCAUUGUUAAGGUUCAUAAUUCUCCUCAAAGCAUUAUACAACCUAGAUUGAGCUUUACAUAAUUACCUAUUGACUGUUUCUUCUCUCAUAUAUUCUGAAUUUUAAAGUUCCUCCUAUGAAAACCUCACUAUAUUUCAUUAACAACUUUCUGUUGUACAACCAUUCUAUUGAUAUCUUCUAAUCUUGGUCAUUGUCUAUUCAUGAUGUCAAAGCAUAGACAUACUUAUACUAUCAUCAAAAGUGUGGCUUAGUAUACUCCCAUAUUGUAUAAUGCCAUCUUACACUCUAUAAUGCCAUCUUAAAAAAUAUGGAAUCAAAGGUGUGGCUUAGUAUACUCCCAUAUUGGUGGAGGAUCUUUUUAUAAUUCUCAUAUGUUAAAAUUUAGAAUAAACUUCUCAUAAGUUAAAGCAAUGACAUUAAUACACUCUUUCAACUAUAAAAGCACAAAAAAACAUUUUUCUAUCACUCUUUUUUCAUCAACAAAAUUUAUUUGGGUCUCAAAACCUCAAUAAUAUAGUGUCAUAUUUGAAGUCAAUAUCUAUUACACAAUCUUAUAGGGUUAAGAUUUUUAAAAUAAUUGCAAUAUCAAUUCCAUAUUUUUUUAUAGAAAUUAAGGAAUAAUGAUUUUAUAGAAGGAACAGUCUAUUAGAAAUCUUUAAAACUCACAUAAUAAUGGUACUCAGUUUUAAAGUUAACUUAAUUAUACAACAUUGGAAUUGCAAGGAGAUGAAAAAUUAGCAACUAGAAAUCUCAAAAUUUCUAGGUAAAGGAAGAACCAUCAAACAAUAUUAUUGCUUAAUACUAUACCAUUAUCUCAUACAUCAAUAAAACUUUUUCAAAGAAAAUUGAAGCCUUAUCAGUUAUUUCUUAUCAAUUUAUUUUUUAAUAAAAAUAUUUAUUAUUUAAUGUAAGUUAAAAUUUUAUUUUUUAAAUUAUUUGUGUUUGUUCUACUCAUUUUGAAUGAAAUUAAAAUUCACUUUUUCUUGGUUGUAUAAAUAAUAAGAAGUAAAGCCUCUAUUGGUUCUUAUGGAGGAUAGGGAGAAUACAAGGAGGUAGGAGUAAAUUAUUUCUUUAAAUUAUUUUCAAAUUUUGGUAUUUAAUUAUUUCUUUUAGUUCUACAUUAGGUGAUUUGGCACAUACUCAAGUUAAGUCAAUGUAGACUAACUUGGAUCGACAUAAUAUUGAGGUAAUUGUUGAGUUAAUGAUUUUGAUGUUCACAACUAAUCAUGAAAAGAAAGAAGAAUUAUUUUACUAUGCUGGUGUAUAGAUCAAGAUCGAAAUCAUUACAUCUAGUCAUUUAUAUUUUUAAAAUAUAAUUUUCUAGAUAUACUAUUACUACAUUAAUGUUGUGGAUCAAGAUCUAAAUCAUUAUAUCUAGUCCUUUAUUAUUGUUAAAAUAUAUCUUAAGAAAAUAGAUAUCAACUACCACAUAACUGAGAAGAAAAAUAAAUCAGAUUACAAAAAAAUUAGAAAGAAAAAGAGGAGAGAAAAAAGUUUCUACUCACAAAUCUGUGUCAGCCAUCAAGAAAUGAAAAAGAAAUAGACACUAGGCUGACUUAGAAAACCUUGUGUCAACUCAAGUAGAAUUGGGAAAGAGAGGUGAUUCUUGAGCCAAAAAUAUUUGUGGACAGAUUCAAAAUUGAGGAAUAAAAUGAAAGUUUUCAGACCUAAAAAAGCCUAUGUUGACUCAUCCAAAAUUGAGGAAGAGAAAUACAGUAUCAAGUCAUAAAUGCAUGUGUCAAUCCAUUAAUAGAUGUCCCAUCCCAUCCAAAACCAAAAAGAGAGGAAGUGUGUAAAACAUGUCCUAAGCAAGAAAAGUUAAGCCAUUCAACCUAAAGGAAAAGAAGAUUUGACUCACAUAAAAUGCAUUUUGACAUAUCAAAAGAUCAAAGAGUUCAAAAAGUUGGUCAGCAAGUUGGACAAACUAACUUUCGUGUAGUCUUACUAGUGGGUCAAUGCAAGUUUUGACCUAGGUAAUUUUUGAUCAAUCAAAUCGUAGAUGUUGGGAUUGUAUAAAUAAACCUUCACAUGAUCUUUCAAACUUAAACUUAACAAUUUCUCAAUUUCACCAUAAAUUCAGAAAUUAUUCUUAAAACUUUUACCAAAAGUGCAUCAUUAUCAAGGUUUUGUCAAGUGUUUAAUCAUUAGCAACAUCAAGUAGGCCCAUUCUCUUAGAAUUUGUAUUGAAAUAUAACUUCUCUAAGCAUAAAUUUAUAUGAGAAGCACUUUUGUCUUUCCAAUGAGAAAAUUCAGAAAUUUGAGUAUUAAUUCAUUCAAAAAUUACGUAAAUUAGAAUUAGGAAAAGGACUGCUCAAUCUAAAACUAGAUGAGGAUUUUCAUUGUGGCAUGUAGUAGACCGAAACACAUUAGGACAAGUUAUUAACCAGAGUAUAUGGUCAAAACUAGGAAACCUUUGGAAUUGUUGUAAAUGGAUUUCUUUAGUCCAACUAAGGCAUAAGUCUUAGUAGAAAAAUAUUUGGGUAUGCAAUCAUUCAUGAUUUUUAUAAAUUUACAAGGGUAAUUUUCUAAAAAGAAGCAUAAUUAACUCAAGGCAUUUAAGAAAUUUAACCAAAAAUAAUAAUAAUGAAAAUAAAUUGAAGAAUAAAAUUAGACAUGAUCAUGAAUGACAAUUUAAAAGUUUAAAUUAUUGGGAAAAAAAUUGGUAAUCAAAGAAAACCCCAUGAAUUUUCUAGUACACCUCAACAAAAUGGUAUUAUGGCUUACCACUAUCCUAAAUAAUUUUCUACUGAGGAGAUAAAUGGUCUAUUAUAUCAUGAAUAGAAUUGUGAUUGAGCCCCUAGUCAAGACAAUUUUUUUGUGAAUUCUAUUAAGGAAAGAAACAAAAUAAUAGUUACUUUUACUUUUUAGAUGCAAAUUCUUUACUUUGAGGACAUAGAAAAUUUUGAUUCUAGAAGUAAUGAAAAAACUAGAGUAUUGUGAAAAUUCACUUUUACAGUUUACAAUAAAUUAUAGGUUAGGAAACAACAAUUAAGAAUUUUAUAAAAGAAAUAGAAAAAAUUUUAGUUCAGGAUGAUGUGGAAUUAUUUGAAACUAAGGUUUAAGAUAUUCAAUUAGUGAUGAUGUGAUGCUCUCCGAACUAUAGGAAAAUAUAGAAAAGGAGAGGUUUUUAAGAGAAGGAAACUAUGUCAAGAUUCAUACAAUUAAUCAAAUUUUAGGGGAUUUUAAGAAAGGACUCUAAACUAGAUCAAGAUUUAAAAUUAAAAUAAUUGUGCAUUGAUUUCUAAAAUUUAGCCAAAAAAUGUUGAGUAAGCUUUAGAGAGUGAGAAUUAGAUUUGAUCACAAAAAAAGAGUUUAAUCAUUUUAGGUUGGUAAUAUUUGAACCUCACUCUCUAGGAUAUUCAAUAUGCUUGUCAUAGGAACAAAUUGGACUGUCAAAGAUACACCAACUUCACAUAAAUCUCGAAUAUGGAAUCUAAAAGCUAAUAUGUGUGUGUUUUACGUGGAUCAAACGAUGGCCCAAGCGUCGUUGGAUUGAUUUGAUGUCAAUAAUAAAGUUGCUUAUCCAUAAGAGAAGAAAAUGCAUUUCAAAUUUCAAAUCAGAUAGACAAAAGAAUGAAAUUUUUUGAAUCAAAAAAUAUAAAAAGUUGUUACCUACAUAUUCUAAAAAAUGGAAAUAUUUAGAAUUAAUUUUUUAAUAUCUAAUGACAGAGUCAAAGAAAGAAACCACUAGAGGAUGACACUUAUAACAAAAAAGAGGGUUUAGAAAAAAAGAACAUAUCUCUACAACAAUUUACAAUGUAUAUCUUUCAAAUUUCAUUCAUUAUGAACUUUAAUGAAGGACAUAAUAUUACACUUGAUCUUCUUAUGAUAUAAUGCUACAUUCAAUCUUCUUAUGACAUCAAUUUUAAAGAUUUAUACUCUCCAUCAGGCCCUAAGGUAAUUAUGUGACAAGGGCAGAGACAUUUAGGCAAAGGCAUAAAAUAUUUGUAGUCAUUUUUUGUCCUAAAAAAUUGUGGUACCUAAAGAGACUGAAUUAAAGUGGUUAAAAGGUUAAGUCCUUAAAUGAUAGUAUAUAUUUCCUAAAUAAAGUAGUGAAAUAUGAUAUAAAGGAUCUUGUGAAAUUGAAAGUAGUUAAGUGAGUAAUGAACUAGUAUAAAAAUUCUGAUUUUAUAAGUGAGAAAGAAGAAUCGUGAGAAUACCACAUAGAGAAAGAGAAAAUAUACAUAGAAGAAAAAAGAGAUGUUAGAGAACCCAUGUCAACAUAUUUAUCAAUAACGAAAAGGCACAAAUCAACAAAAAUCUAUAAACACUCAAUUCAACCCUCUCUUUUUGUAUUUCAUCUAUCAUGUUACUUUUUAUAAAUAAAGGAUCAAUUUAUUAGAAAUUUCAAGUCAUACUUUUCCCCUAAUUACACAUUUGAAUGAUUAAAUAUAAACAUGACAUCUUUUAAGGGCUUAGAUAUCAUUUUUUUUACUCCAAUAAUACAAUAAUUACACUGCUAACAUAUAUUUGAAGGUAUUAGUUUAUGCAUACUUGUAAGAGUCUUCACAUCAGCAUUCAACAUCAAUAAAUUACCAAAUUUUAAUACUUCUAGCGGAAUAGAUUAAUGAUUCAAAUAGUAUUCAAAGUAUCAUUAAUUUAAUUCCAAAGAAAUUGAUCAAAUCAUGAAUGGAAAAUAUUCAAAGUAUUUUUUUAAUUAAUAGACAUCAAGUAUAAUAUUUUAACUUUCAUCUCAAUACGUUACUUCAAUCAUUUGAAAAUUCUUAGAUGACUAGAUUAUGACUUUUUGGUAUCAUUUUAGUAAUUUUCAUCAAGUACAAUGAUGCUAAGGGAAGUAAUGAUUCCUAGUCAAUUUUCAAUCAUUAUAUUGUAUUUCAACUCAUGCAUGUCAAACAUAAUCAUUGAAAUAUCAUCUUAAUACUUAAUACAACUAAAAUCUAUUACAAAUAAUUUUAAAGUCAAUAUCAUUGAAUCAUAUGCCUAGUUCUUGCAGAAAGGAUAUGUUUUAGAAUUAUAAUCACAAUUUCUUUAAUUAUUUUUGUAUGCAUGUUUUUCCUUAUCAAAAAUUUUUUGAGACAAUUAAGACUCCUAAAUUAAAUAGAAUCCAUAAUAAUCAAAAUGGCGUGUUUUUGAGUAGUUGCUUGAACUAAAAAGCAAAGAUAAAUCUUAAAAGAGAAUGAAAAUUGAAUUAUUAUCAUCCUCCUUAAAUGUUAUAACAUAUUGGCCUUUAAAUAGUCUUUUGUCAAUUUUUAUUCUCUUAAAAAAUCUGAUUGAUGAACGAAUUUACAUUAAAUCAAAAUACUAUGAAACAUACUUUCUAAUAAUAUAGAUAUGGCAUUGUAUCCAUGCAGACUUUUAUUGGCUUAUUUUAAUUUGAACUUAAACUCAUUUAAUGACUUUCAACCUAUGCAAUCCAUAUUUUACUAUGGAGUCACAUGUACCACAUUAGAAAGUGCAUUUGAUUGCAUAGUUAACAUCUUUGAUAUGAUGAAUGACAAUUCAGUGCUAAUCAAAAUCAAAAAAUUUACCCAUAUCUACCAACUUAUCCUCAUGGUUCUUCUGAAUAUUCUACUUCUGCAAAAAAGAUAGUGAUUAAUUGACACUUACUAACUUAAUUUUACUAUGGAGCAUGAAAAAAUUUUUCUUCCUAAGUUCAUCAUUGCUAUCAUGAUGAAAACUCUCAGCCUUUUACACACUCACAACUUGUUUUAUAAGUUACUAUUUCCUUGAUCUACAUAGAAAAUCAAAAAUCUGGUCACAAAUACUGACUUUAGAUUGAAACUUGAUUGAUCACGUUGCCCAAUUUAUCUCACAAAGAUAUUCCUUCUGCUAGUCUACUUAAGCACUUUGUCAUUGAGCAUCUAUCAUUUUACCUAACCUAUGUCCAAUGCUGGCUUCACAAAGCUCUUAAAUGUUAAUGAUUAAAUCAAAGAUUAGGCAAAAGCUUUUGCCAAUAAUGUGAUGGACAUUAAGCAGUGAUUAAUUCUAGAAUUUUCUUUUUUUUUAAUAAAAAAUGAUGGAGAGGUUAUGCAUCUUGAGGGGAUCAAGCAUGUAUCAAGAAACUUUGUUUCUUUAUGACUGUUUGAUGUUUUCAUGUAUGGACCAAUUGUCUAAACUUCUGAAUUGUUGAUGUAAAAUUGUAUUCCCCUUUUCUUAAUUUAUCUUCUUUUGUUGUGAUUCCUAUGGUGUGUACUAAUUGUUGUACCUAGGAGUAGCAAUCCAAUCAUUGUGAGAAAAUUGGUGUGGUUGCUGAGAAUUCAUAAUAUUCAAAAAUCAUUGACAACCCAAAAGGAUGAAAUAUGACUAAUGGACUAAGUGAGAAAAAAAAUUAUACAGGGGAAAAUGGACUGAAAAUAUUAGUUGAAUUGUUUUUUGAUGUGCCAACAAGGGGACAUAAUGAACUAAAUAGUGAAAUGAAAAUACUGUUCUCAUUCAAUAAAAUUAGAAUAAAGAACUGAAAUGUGGAAUGAAACUUAUUUUCGUGCUUGAUGUGAGAAGCGAGAAUCAAGGUGAGUGGAUGAAAAUUAUCAUUGAGACAAGUGUUGAGAUUAUUCAGGUUUCAUUUCUUCCACUUGUUUGAACAUUUCCCCCAUAAAAUGGUGGAGAUUAUUCAUGUGAAUGAUAAUUUUAGGAUGUGAAAUCUGCGAAUUGCCUUAGUUUAACUAUCAAAAGGGCAAGGGUGGAAUCAGACAAAUGAUUUUUACAUUGGACCAUUGAGCCUCACAUAUGCUAGGAACUCAUGAAAAUUGUAAUUAAAAGUACUCAACGCAAUAAACAGUAAAUCAAGAAUUCAAAGAGUUCAAAUUGUCCUGAUUUUAUUUCCACUAAAGUGAAAAGUUAUUUCUAAAUUGUAUAAUUUAAUGUGAAAAAUAAUCUAUAUUUUAACUUGUGUUAAAGAAAGCAGGUCAAAUAAGGAAUCCAACAUAGCAGAUCUGAUGGUUUCGAAUUUUUAUGUAUUUUACAAGGUUUACCAACAUUUUCUUGCAUUAUCCGUCACAUGUGCAGUCCAAUACAGACCACUCAACUAAUUGUUGAGAUGCCUGUUCGGCCCAUUAAGCCCAGCAUAGAAAUAGGGCUUUCACCCAAAAAUGGGGCAUCAGGAAAGAUCAAAAGAUAGAGCACAGGAGUCUAUCUCUCUGCCCUCUUUCUGCUUACAGAAAUCUUCUAGAACCCAAGCUGCAAAUUCAAUGUCUCCAAGUUUCUGCAACUCCUGAUAGUUAUUUGCGGCUAAAUAUCUUUGAAAAGCUUCCUUACAAUCUUCUUCCUCAACAGCAAGAUUCAGCAUCCUAUUUGAAGGCAUGGGUAUGCCUCCGUAUUUCUUGAACUGCUAAUAAUUAUUUACCGCUAAAUAUCUUUGAAAAGCUUCCUCGCAUACUUCUUGCUCGACAGCAAGAUUCAACAUCCUAUUUAGAAAUAGGCGGUAGAAACAGCCUACUUCUGUUGGGUUUGAAUUUCUAAAGGCUCUCUAGGAUCACUUGUCUCAAGAUUUGGAGGCUAGAUAGAGCUUGAACAUCCAGAAAGGGGAGAAAACCCACAUGAAGAUAUAUCGUGCAAGGAAGAGAGUAUGAUCCCACAAAGCCGCCCCCACUUGAUCUGCUUAUUGGGCGAUAAAAAUAGAAUUUUCAUUCUCUUUGGGGGGCUCAUAUUUUAUUCUGGAUUCAAGCAACCAUUAUCAGUUCAAAGGACAACAUUUUGGAUCAUUGUGGAUUCAAGGAUCAUCAAAAUUAUUUAUUGUGGAUACAAGCCAAUGGGAUUUCGCAGUGAUUUACUUAUGUUGGUCCGUUGAACUUCAUCCCCCAAUUGACAGUUUUGUAUCCACUAAAUCAUGGUUGGUUUUUGAGGCAAGAGAUUUGUGUUUGGAGGUCAACAUCAAUCAGAAAGAAACGGUCGAGUGACGUGUCCUUGGCGAUUUCAUUAAAUGGACGAUAGAAAACACAGCUUUUGUUUGAGAUCUUCGUGAGAUUAUUCAUUCUGAUGUUCUUCAAAAUGUUUGGUUAGUGGGCUUUUUGGUAGCUACACAUGCAUCACUAUUGCCCACGUUCCUAAGAUUCCUGAGAGAUUCAGGCUCUUCUUCUUCAUGCGCCAUAAAUGGGAGGUUAACGAAUGCUGCAGCCUGGGCCCAGACUAGCCAGGGGAGUGCCAAUAGUGAUCACCGGCAGGAGGAAGAACAUUAACAGUUGAACAUCAAAGACGGGGGCGUAAAUGGGCAGGGAACAGUGGGGUGGAUAAAUGCGCUGCCACCUGUGGUCCAUGUGGACUACCACGUGGGUUUCCGAGCCGUUGUGAUGCUAUUUCCUUCAUUUAUUUCUUUAAGGGUCGUUAUUUCUCUAGGAGCUCAAGGCGACUCCCCGUGAGAAGAUGAUUUCUGUUCCAAUGGCUCUGCGAUGCGGGAACAGAUGACGAGGGGCGUCCUUCGAUUCAUUCGGCGAGAGAUCUCGACCGAUCACACUCGAACAGAAGUAAAAUGCCAUCCUUUUCAGGUACUAGAUACAAAAAAGAAGCUAAUUUUGCUCUUCUUCUGGGAAGAAAACAGAGACUCAGCUGUCUCCCCUCGUUGGUUUUCCCCAGGACAAGGGGGAAGUGAGCUGAAAACGCGCCUCCAGGACGAACACCAUGUACACGAUGAAGGAAUUGGGCAGGAGAACCCGCAGCCGGAGAGGGGAGAGGGAGAGAGGAGAGAGGAGAGAUUUCUGACCUUUCUCGUAUCCCUCGUCCUGUUCGUCGUGGUUGCUGGUUCUCGUCGUCGAGGGGGGUUUGCUUCGGACAACCCACCCUGGCUGAUCUUGUGUUGUGGUUUUCGAAGAAUUUGAAGAAAUGGAAGAGCAGGGAUCUGUCCACGGAAUGAAAAAACGGGACAUGUUCAGGGCUCCACGUCGUCCCAGCUGAGGUCCCCGCCGCCUCCGGUGACGACGAUGGCUGUGCCGUUGUUGAAGGCGGGGCACUGGUAGGACGGCCGAGAUCCGUCGCCGCCGGCGCUGGCGGGGCAUCCGGAGGGCCCCACGGGCAGCGGUGCCAUGCAGUUGUAGGAUAGGCAGACCGUCACCCCGUCCGGAAGGGGCGGCGAGACGGCGGCGCCGGCCACACCGCCGCCGGGAAUCGGAAGUGGAGAGUCGAGUCCGGAGAGGUAGUUGUGCUGAGCAUAGAGCGUCGUCAUGGUGCCCGCGUAGAGGCUGCGAACGAACUCCGACGGCAGGGUCCCCGUCAGACGGUUGUAGUUCACGAAGAGGCUGCCGGCCGCCGCCAGACCCCCCGGAAGGGGACCCGUCAGCUGAUUGUGGCUCAGGUCCACCGUCCACUUCGCGAUGGCUCCCGGCUCGACGGGCUCCGGUAUAGGGCCCGACAAGCUGUUCCGCUGCAGCAAGAGCACCGCCAAUGGCGGUGGCACCUCCUCCUCCGGGGGGCGCCGUGGAUUGAAGAGGGCACUGGGUACGGGACCGGAGAAGCCGUUCAUGGAAAGGUCGAGAAAAGCGAGGUCGGGAAAUGAGGCGUCGAGGGCUUCGAGGGGACCCGACAUUGCGUUGUUGGAGACGGAGAUGUAGUGGAGAGUGGCCGGGAGAGGGCGAGGAAGAGGUCCGGUGAGGUUGUUCUCGCGGAGGUCGAGAUGGAGGAGCGGGACGGCGACAGGGGGGAUUUCCCCGGAGAGACCGCCGUUGGCGGCGAGGAUUACGACCCGGAGGCUGGGUAGAGCGAGGAGGGCCGGGGGAAUGGCACCGGAGAGGCGAUUGUGGCUGAGAUCGAGCGUGUGGAGGCUGGGGAGAACCCCUAAGGAGGCCGGGAUGGGGCCGGAUAGAAGGUUUCCGCUCAAGGAAAGGAGGCGGAGCGAGGGCAGGCGGGCUCCGCCGAGCGCCUCGGGGAUGGGCCCGGAGACGCGGCCGGGGGAGAGGACGAGCUGGGUGAGAAGCGUGAGGUUGGCAAGGGAGGGUGGAAGCGUCCCGGCGAGGCCCGGAGAUCCUGCAGAACCGGCAGAUCCGAGGGUGAGAGACGUCACCCGGAGGGUCGCAUCGUCGUCGGCAGGGGAGCAGACGACGCCGGCGAAGGAGGAGCAGGCGUCGGAGGCGGCAGACGGUGAAUCCAAGCGCCACGAGGAGAAGAAGCCCGAGCCGGGGAGGUCGCGGAGGCUCUGUCUGAGGUCUAUGAGCACAUCAAGGUCCCCGCUGGUCAGACGAGCACCAAGAGCCAGCGUCUCCUGCGGCCGCUGCUGCGCGGUGGCCAACCAGGCCCCUCGCGAGACCAAGAUCACGGAGAGUAAGAGCGAGAGAAGGCUCGCCAUGGCAGCGUGAAGUCGCCCGCAGCGCGAUGGGGUCCGCGAGAGGAUUCUCUCUCCCACAGGAAGCCGGCGGAGAUGGGCGCGCGCGAGAAAUGUCGGCCAAAACAAAGGGCAGCCGCGCUCAGUCACAGGCUUUGUAAAGGCGCGUUCUUGCCAGCAGGUGUGGGGGCGGGUUGGCUCCCGUUGCCUAAUCCUCCUCUGCGUCACUAGCGUAGCAGCGCGGCCGCAAUGAUGGCUCUCACAGGGGGGAGGGGGGGUUUACGGUCGUCGUACAGCGGGACGAGGGGGCACGUGGUGGAAGUUGGACGGACGCCGAAUGGUCCUGCGCCGUUGCAUGUUUCCAUGUCCCUUCUGUUGCGUGACGACACGGCCAACUGGCCGAGAAAAGACAAGGCAUGCUUGCUUGCUUGCCUCGCCUCGAUUCCUUUGCCCGGGCCGACUCCCCGGCGGCUUGCACACGCGGCACGGGGGUUUCUGCUGCCCAGGUUAGGUUCCGCGCUUGGAGAAGAGGUGGGUGAACAGCGACACACAGAGGGGUGGAGGGGCCGGCCUUCCGGCCAGGGAAUGGAUGUCCCGGCAAGAACAGGGAGAAUCUGUGGAGCCGACGCCCGCCCGACGCGGGCUCGCCCGGCGCGCAAUGCUAGCAACUGCAGCAGGAAUUGGGGAACUAAGCCAGAACGGAGCUCGAGCUCCCUCCCGAGGGAGGUCUCGCCGGAAUUUCCAAGAGGGGAUCUUGGAAAGAACUCAAAUAUUGGAAGUCCCUUGGAGGCGGGGGGCCGGUCGCCGACAGGCCUUUUCGAACUCGCGCUUCAAAAUAUAUCAAAGUUGGAUUUGUUGGAACCGACUUGACGGUCUCAAGCUCUUUUCACUCCCUCGUCACUGCUACUGCAUAGAUUAUGCCGUGCUCCGUCCUUCCUUGACGGGGCCUCCCCUGCCCUCUUCCCUCCCCUCGACUGGCGAUGCACGGCUGCGCGCCGCCGGCCAUGGCAUCCUCCGAGCCCUUCCCUACCCGGCCAGCUCGGUGGAGAAGCGCCAUUUGCGGCGGCGUGUCUGGGCUUCUCCAGUAGUCAAGCCUGUUGGGGUUCAGCUUUGUUGGCUCUCGCUCGGACCAGGGUCAAACUGGGUCCGACUCCACCUAAUAUUUCACUCAAUAUUCUACUUCUAUGCAGAUGGGUUGGUGCGACCCAUCAUAAAUAAUUAACCCGCUUGCUCAAAUCUGCUCCUUGCGGAAGUCGAACCAGCCCGACCUUAAUAAAAUACGGCCGACCGAUCUGGUGAUAAAAUACGGCCGACCGAUCUUUACUAUUCUUAGGUGCAUAGUAGCAUGUGCUAACGGCCAUAUUCCACGGCUGCCUAGGCUGCUAACAUAUUGCUUUGUUCUUAGGCACAAAUCCUAACCCAGGUUUGAAGUAACGGAGACUGAUUUUAUUGUUUUACAUGCUCUGAGGGCAUUGGUCCAACGGUGGCUGGUAAUGACGCUCUAACAUACGCGAAGACAGAGAAACUUAGCAAGCUCUGUCUGGGAGGGGAAUCACUCCUGGAUGAUGAUUUGAGUGGGUUAAACUGUUCUUAAAAAAAAAAAUGGUAGAACGCAAUGAGAAAAUAUCGGCAGCAUCAAAUAAGUUUAAGGAAAAAUCGGAAAAGUUUUGCUAUAAUGGGUCCCAGAUAAGUGUAAACGUCAGAAAAGCUUUGGUAGUUUUGCCGACAGUCACCGCUGUUCAUCGAUUUGUACUCCAUUCAAGGUAAAACCGGAAAUGAAGAACAACGAUGCGAGCUGGUGAAUAAACUCUGUUAUGGUAUGAACCCCAACAUGGCUAUUAAAUGAGCAUUCUUAUUGAGGAUAAGAUAUCCUAUUAUUGAGGGCAGCCCCAACAUGGCUGUUAGCUCGAAUCAUUAACAAAAAUGUCGUGGAUGUCACUCCCCUGGUCCCGGUGAUAUUUAUGCCUGUCUCUCUCCCCACCAAAGUGUCUGGAACUUUUGGCAUAUGACAAUAGCUCGUGGGCCUGCCUAUCUCAUCUUUGGUUGGAUCACUCUCCGCAAUUCUCGCGGAAGGCUCUUCUUCUUCCUCGACGUCAGUAUACUCUCAUCUCUGCCAGACGGCUCUCCGAACACCGACAGCGGCGAUAAAUGCGAAUAGGGAGUUCUCAGCGCAUUGCUUGUUAAUACCCCAUGUGGGGUUAAAACGUUUGGAAGAACGCGGUUGUGUGAGUAACUCACAGUAGUGGUGCACUGACGAGAGGAGUUACUCGCCUGCAUGGAUCCUCAUCAUGUGGGCAUUUAAGCGCUGCCGCUGCUACUGCCAUCGUAAAGGACCUGACGGCAGGCCGCCGUUCAAGGGCUCCGACCAGUCGGUCGCCGAGCAUAGAUGCUGAGACGCGUAUUGUUUUCUGUACUUUGCCUGGAUGUGAAUUGUGGCCGUCACCGCAGAAGAAAAUUCGCCGUUUCAGCCUCCCAAGCCUGAAAACUUGACGGCGUACGUAAAGCGCCGCCGGUGGAUCAAGAAUGGAGCAAGUCUUAAAGGUCAACUGAGGAGUCAGCGUGGCUGUCAACGACAACGAGGCGAACGUUUGAAGGGGGUGAAGGGGGAGAAGGGGGGGACCUUGUUGAGUGAGCAGACAACCACAACGGUCUUCAUAUUAAAUGCCAUCACAUGAUCCGCUCUUGGCGCGAUGUAUGAACUUAUAGCCAUCAUUGCUUGCCGGUCACUCUCGCAAGUACCCCCCGGCACAAGAUCAGUCAGUCUUUCGGCUCUUCCCUUUCCCACCCUGCCGACAAGGGAGAUAAGGCCACGAACAUGCAUCAUGAAACUCUCUCUCUCUCUCUCUCUCUCUCUCUCUCUCUCUCUAUCGCUGGUAUCUAUUCAUCUUUAUCCCUGCAUCUCAUCUCAGUCCGAGUCUCCUCAAGGAAGGCCACACACAUCUCUCUCUUUCUCCCUUCAAAUCCCUCUCUCUCUAUCUAUACAGGUCAACGUGCCGACGCCGGCUUGUCUUCUACUCGUCAAGUGCGAGUUCAGAUGGGGAGGGGAUCUUAAUGAAACCUACAGAGUUCAGAACGCUUCGUGCUUCUUCGGGUUGCCUCUAAAUACUGGAGACAGCGACCUCAGUAAAUGCCAAAACGGUGUAGUAAUUGCACAAUGGAAGAGCCGAGCAGGGUCACUGCUCUUCUUCAUGUUGCUGACAACUGACGCGGGGUUCUCUUCGAUUUUUCUUCGUCUUCUUUCUUCGUAGCAUGACAUCACUCAUAAUGGUCGUCACCUCUCUCUCUCUCUCUCUCUGCCGUUUUUUCGUAGGCGGUGGUAUAAACCGUCAGUUGCUGAAGAGUUCCCUAAAAUAGGAUCAGAGUUGACUCGCACCGAAGUGUCUACGCCCACCUCAAAGCCUGAUAUCGUUGACUACAGAGAGUUUAACCAAGUAUAAGCCUGAAACUUCAGAAUUUUAGGUACGAUACCAACUGUCUCCCUACUGCUGCACUGCAGGCUUCCUGUUCGUCGACCCUACUCCAAAUUCGCAGCUGACAUGGCCCAGCUAAGACGCCUCGAAUACGGCAGGUAGUUUCGUACGGAGAGAGUACCUCUUACCAUUGCCAAUGGACUGAGUAGGCUCAUAGCUCAGCUUCGGACCGGACUUGGGUUUCUUCGUGCGCCAGGGUCUAGAAAAAUCAGGUCCUAGAAUAAGAGUAGGCUCUCCAAGGAACUGUAGGGGAGCCAUCAGCCUGCCUCCGCUUGCCCGACUCUAGAACGUGCUCUGUUGCCUAAGUGGAGACCCCCCCCGCCUCCUGCCGCGUAACCCGCGUUGUCUCCAACAUCGGCGGCUGAUAAUCCGCCUGCAUGGUGGGCUCUCCCAGGGAGGAGGAGGAGGGAAGGGGGGGAGACGCGUCGCGCAGAGUUUCACUUCAAUUCAAAAAAAUAAAUUUCAAGACUUGUGAAGAAAUUAAGGGGGGGUAGACUCGGAACGGUAAUGGUUUUGAACGGCUAAAUUGUAUUUAAUGUUCGCUAAUAAUCGAUUUCAUUCGUUCGCUGCGGCACAAGGCGAAAGAAGGGCUGGAAGCGUGAUGGACGCACGUAUCCGGGCCAUCGUCGACGCCAUCCACGCCAGCCCCUCCCAGGCUGUCAUCUACCUCGCCGGAGGUGCCUCUCAGGUGUGUCGGUCUCUCGUUCUCUGCUUCUUAGUUCCCCUCCCUGCCGCCGAUUCCCGACAACUGCAGAAUUCUGAAAAUGGCUGUUUUUUCGAUUGCUGCCUCCAGGCGCUCGGGUGGCUGCUGUCUGUUCCAGGAGCUUCUAACACCGUUCUCGAGGCUUUGGUUCCCUACUCCAAGACCUCCAUGUCCCAACUCCUCGGGAAGGUAACUCGUCGUCUCCUUCCCUAUGAAUAAUUUUCCCUAUUCGGCAUCUUCUUUCAUCUCGAACCCCGACAGCUUGUUUGCGUAUCCGUUUUAGUUUUCUCCUUUCGAUAUGUUCGGCCUGUUGUUCCAUAUUUAUCUGCCUCUUACCCGAGGAACAUUCAAACUCUGGAAUGUGGUGCGUCUGAUGGAAAGAUAAAAAGAAUCGUUUGUCCGACUACGUUUUGAUGGGGGAAAGUUUGUGAAUUAUUUAUUGAUUGAAUGUCUUGGGAUCGAACUCAACUAUAGCCUGAUAUGGCGAGAAUGUUUAUGCAACCCUGCCAAGUUUGAAUACACCUGAACCAUGUUUGGUUCCUUCGGAGUCAUUAGAUGCAACCUCUCGUUUGCAGGAGGAUGCUUUUUCCUUGAUCUUCUCAGUCUUAUUUUCUAUUAGUGGCUUCGAUCCAUUUCAAAGAGGUGGUCAUCUCAUGCAUCACAAACUUUAAGGUAUUUUGGUUAGGCAUCAGGCCUAGCUUUUCUCCCUAAACCGCCAUUGAUAGUCCACUCCAUUAGGAAAUGCAAAUCAGGCUGUGUCUUAUUGAUAUGGUGCAUCACUGGUUCCCUGGCCCAUUUUGUCUCACAAACAGCAUACAGUAAGUUUUAAACUAAAAUAGCAAAAAUAACGGACGAAUAUCUGAACAAGAAUAAAUUUCAAAGAGUGAAAACCUUACCAUAACCCGCAAUACAAACAGGGAGGAUGAAGAAAACAAAUGCUAUGGAAAACCUUACUACAUCAUCUUCUAAUUCUUUUUUAAACCAAGAAUAUUAAAAAAUUGCUUCUUUACUUGUUCUAUACUUUUAAUGUAUUAUUGAGUACCUCAGGUGGAUCCUAUCUCUGAAAACUGCAUUUAAGGUUUACAGUCUAGUCGUGUGCUACCUUAUAAUACUUGCUGGUUCACUUUAUUCAUAUGGGUUGGAUUUACAUCACUGAGGCACUCUUUGACUUAUGGAAGUUGUCCCUAGUAAAGCCCUAAACAUAGGUUCUUCUGAUCCAUAUCUCCUUCUUCACAAGUUUUGAUGUCUUAGCAAGGCCUGUGCAUAUAGUUUAAAAAUAUGUAUACUGAUAACUGGGUUAUGUUAUCACCAAACCAAUUUUAGAGCUCAGAAAAAGAGUUAUCUAAAAGUAAUAUGAAAGAUAUCUACCACUUUUGAGUUUAGAAUUCCUCUUUGUCACAUGACUGCAACAUUUUUUAUUAAAGAGGAUUGUUUUCUUCUAUCAAACCCAAGAAACGACAGAGAGCAUAAAAAAAAUGAAAGAGUAAAUAUGAAGAUUUCAUGUUAUUGCAUAUUUGAAAUCACACUUCUCUGUGUGGCUUAUAUCUUGAACUAAGCACAGAUUUCUGAUGUUAAAAGGAACUGCAUUAUUGUCUUGUUUUAGCAUAAGCCUUAAAAAUUCUCACAUUAUUGCGACCAUUUUGGUAUCUUAGCUCAGCUUAAUCACCUUUGUAGGAAGUACCCAGUUUCUUUAGGACAUGAUGAUUUGAUGCUAAACUAGGUCUAGUUUCUGUUCUUCUAAGAGGCUGGAAACAUAUAUAUUCUUGUACAAGGUGUUUCUAUUCCCGUGUGUUACUGCUGAGAAAUGAAGGCUAUCAAAUCCUGAGAGGACUGCUACAGAGAUCAACUAUGAAAAAUGUAUGAUCUAUUCAUGUACAAAGGCAGGUGUAUCUUCUUGGUUAAGAGUUCAGACAACAGUAUCUCCUAGGAUUAGGGUCAAUUAGGGGUAAUGAAAGGAUCUUAGAUUUAUGAAGAAACGACAACAAGAAAGAUCUGAUAUCUUUGCAUAAUCUUCUCAGUUAAUAUAAUAUAGCAGAGGUAAGGGAUGGUACUAAUGCUUUCCAAUCGACAGAUACUGUGUUUUCCUCAUUCAAUUUUAUUUGACGUCAGUACUUUUUGUCUUGUGGGAAUAUAUAGUUUAGCUAAUUGUAACCUGAAAUGAAUUUUCUUCUGUUGGGAGCUCACUGUUACAGAACUUCAUAGAAGUGACUAUCAGCUCAUGUACUGGAGCACUCCAUAGAACUGCUAGAUUUUAGACAAUAGGCAACAUGUUAUAAUGAUUGGAUCCCGCCUCAUCUCUUCACGAGGUUAAAUUGCACAACCAUGCUACCAGCAAGGUAGUCUACUCAACAUGUGAAUAGUGCAUAUUUUUAAAAAGGCUAUUUCUGGUCCAAAACUAUGUUGACUGAAAUUUUGGAACACUUUCUAUGGGGGCUCAUGUCAAACACCACGACAAAAGGAAAGCUUAUCCAUAGUCAUGGGACCAUCUAUUUUAUACAGGAAAACACAAGAUUCUGGGGGAAGACUCAAUAUGGUCAUGACAAUAGAUGAAAUAGUAUCAUUGCACUGGGGCGAUCUAUUUCAGUAUCUUUUCUGUAGUGUAUGUCAUAUAGUUUCAUUUUAGAUUAUUACUAAGUUACAUUACAAUGUGACCAUACUUUAGUUCACUUGCUGUUCAAGUUCUUGGUCAAGUAUUGUAACCUGCCAAUAGAAUUUACCCAUUCAAUUCAGUGGUCUGGGUCAGGUGAAGAUUGACUGUCUUGAUUGGACCAUAUGUUGUGGUGUAAUGUUUUCAUGUGAACUAUCAAAUAAUCCCCCUCUACAAUGGUCUUGGGUUUUUCUUCAUAUUGAAUCCCUCUGUAACCUCCCAUGUCCUCUAUAUGUUACAGGCCCGUUGGCAAAGCUUAUUGUACAAAUUAUCAUAUUAUUUCACCAGAAAAACACUGUUAAAAUGGCUGAAAUUGCAAUAUAUCAUAAAAAUUAAGCUUAAUGACUAGGGUCGUUAGCUCACUGCCAAAUCUCUAACUCUGCAUACAGAUGGUAAGAAAUACGGAGUUCUGCAAUUAACCCUUAUACCUUUCACCAAUUCUUCAGUUUGUAUGUUGCUUGUAUGUAUUUACCAUCAGUUGUCAAUCUUUCAGCAGAAGCAAGGAGCUCAUUCUACAGUACUCAGAGAAAUAACCCUAAGAAGAUAAUAUUAUAAGCUGAUUGCUGUGUUAAUCAUUCUAUGAGUAUGGUGUUCUGAAAAACAGUCAGUCUCUUUUGGUAUCAUCAUAAGGCAUGCAAGUAAAAUAUCUUGCAAUUUAUUUCUCUCUUUCGUCAAUGAUCAUCCAAGAGGAGAGAACAGAGGUGGCAUUUUCUAGCCAUAGUAUUUUCUGUUGUUUUUUUCUUCUGCACUUUGUUUCUGGACGGCAACAUUGGCCUUUGUCGCCACUUUCAACAUAAUUCUGUCAUAGACUGCUUUGAAAUAAGAAGUCACAAAAAGAGCAAGCCGUUAGAUUAUUGCCUAUCGAAGUUUGUUCGCAAUAUCAUUAACACUUGCAUAGCAUUAGUUAAGAUGAUCUUCAGCAUAACUUUUUUGAUUUAUCAUCUAUUUCCAUCAUGUCUUUCUUUUUACCUUCACUUCCUUGGAUUAUCCCAUGAUUUUUUUCCUUUAUUAUUCUAAUAUUGCAUCUCUUUUUGUUGAUGUAUGCCCUUUUCUUUAAGCUUGCAUUCCUUCAAAAUGACUGCCCAAUGGUUCUUUAAAUAUUUUUUUAUUUUUCUCCCUCGUCAGUUUGAUUCUGCCAGUCUGCUCCUAAUUUUAUCUCUUCAGGCCAGUCUAAUUUGCAAAUUUAUAGCAAAACAGUAUGUGGGUGAAGGUUAUGUCUUUCUGUGGGCAUUUUAUUCGUUCUUAUUCACAGACAAGUACAGACAUACUGGACAACAUAGAAAGUAGAAGAAAUCUAAGGUCUCAUGCCAUUAAAAUCAUGCAUCAUUAAUAAAGUUUACUUUAUUCAGUUGGCUGAAAAAUAUGAUAGACGUUGACUUGGGUAUGUGUAAAUUGCCAAAGAAAAUGAUGAUGUUAAUCAGUAACUUUGAAUGAUAAAUUCUGAUAAUAGAAAGUGGUUGGUCGUGGUAACUUAAAUGAAAGGAUUUCAAUGUUACAUAUUGUAUGUGGGAUUUGUUACUCUGUUUCCUACGUAAUGAAUUUUAGGUUCCUGCGCAUUUCACUAGCCAAGAAGUUGUAGAAGAAAUGGCAAUGUUGGCCUACAAUCGUGCAUUGAAGCUGUCUAGACCAGGUUCUUGUUCUUCAAUGGUUUUCUAUAACACUAAAUCAUAACAGUGUUUUUCUACUUCAGUUAUCUGCUUCAUUCAUCCUUUCAUACCUUUCGUUUAUCUGAUAUCAAACGGAGUUGGCUAAAGUUUCAUUCUUUUGGCUUCAAAUGAAUUUCUCCUUGAAGGCAUUGUUGUUUAGAUUUUUUUGAAGUGAUGUUACAAUAUUGAAUAAGUUCUUAAUUCAUUAGUUUCAAUUUCAUCAUGUUGAUAGAAAAAGGGGAUGAGAAGACACCAUAGAUGUGGAGAUGGCCAGUUUUUCGAUGAGAAGACACUUGUACACCUGGUACAAGUGUGCUUAGGAUACAAAAUUAAAGAUAAAAUAGAAAGACAGAAACACCCUCAUGUUCUUGGCAUUUUCUCUCGAUAAAAUUAUGGAUACUUAUCAUGUUGACCUUGCACAAUGUGUGUUGAAGUCACCUUGUGUAAAUCUGUCAAUCUAAAUAACUAAACAUUGGCCAUUUUGUUGAGGCAGAGAUAGGCAGUGGAAGACUAGCACCAAAAAAGGGAGAGUACAGGAGGAGGAAGAGAUAAAAUGAGAGAAUAUAAAUAGUCUUACCAUGGGCUGUAAGGCCCUUGGUACUUAUACAUAAACCCUUAGAGGUAAAAUCAUAAAUGAUAGAAAAUAAAUAGAGAAACAGAAGGGGGAAUAUAUCUGACAACACUCCCCCUCAAGUUGGUGAAUGGAUGUCAUCCAUGCCCAGCUUGCCACAUAGUUCGUAGAAGCAUAAUGAGGAGAGGUCCUUCAUGAAGAUGUAUGCCUGCUGUUGAGUAGAUGGGAUAUAUGGAGUAAAGAAAUCUCCUGUCUUGAGUUUUUCCUUAAUAAAGUGGUGAUCCACUUCGACGUGCUUCAUGUGGUCAUGCUAAACUAGAUCAUGGGUGAUGUUGAUGACUAAUUUUUUGUCUCAUAAUAGUUGAACUAGAUGAAUGUAUGGAAGUCCAAUUUCAGUCAAUAGUUACUUGAUCUAAAUAGCUUCACACAGACCUUGAACCAUUGCUUGGAACUUAGCCUUUGCACUUGACCAAGCAAGAAUUAGUGAGCUUUACUGACUCUACUUUUAUUUUUUUUCACCCUAAAGGAAUGAUUUAUUUGGGUUCAAUGGCUUUGAUAUUCUACUUUAUGGGUAGAAAAGAUACCCGAACAUUUUUUUUCUUUAUCUACAGGAAAUAGUGAUGUAGUUUCCAUUUGCCAUCAUGAGAUCAACCUCAAUAAGGAUCAUCUUUCUGCCAGAAUAUCUAUUUAAGAACUAUUUAAAUAUUUUUUGGCUGUCAUUAUAUUCAUUCUCUUUCAUAAUCUAUGGAAGGUGCAUUAGCUGGUGGUGGAACAACGAUCAAUUUAUGAGCCAGCAUAAUCUGUGUCCGUGUUGACCUCCAGGCAGAGUUGAGCAUCCUGCCAGAAGAGUAUCUUGUGGCCCACCGUACCUUUGAGGUAACAAUGUGUACGAGUGGCAGCAUGGAGGUGAGGUGCUUGAGGAGCAUGCAUGAAUUGACUCAAAAUGUUGAUCGUGUAGGCAAUGUUGGGUCGAGGGUAGGUGAGAUAGAUGAGCUUGCCGACCAACUUCUGAUAAGACCCUUGAUCAAUAGGUUCCGUAUUUGCAACAUCUACCAAGCGAUGAUUAGUUUUGAAUGAAAGUAUCCAGUGGUUGCGAAGCUGAUUUGUCAAGUUCUUGAAGAAGGUCUAGUGUACUUAUACUAGCAGAUAAAGAUACCCACAACACUAUAAGCCACUUCUAGUCCCAAAAAAUACUACAGUAAGCCCAGAUGUUAGAUCUCAAAUACCAAGGCCAAUCAGUGAGCAAGAGAUUGAGCCUCAAUAGUGUCGCUCUUGGUGAUGAUGAUAUUGUCAACAUAUAUUAAGAGGAGAGUGACUCCCCCUAACAAGGAAUGGUGAUAGAACAUAGUAUGAUCAUCAUUACUUCGUUGAUAACCAAAAGACAUUAUCAAGAUGGUGAAGUGACCAAACUAGGAGGGAGGUGACUAUUGAGGCAGUAGAGCACCUUGUUGAGCUGACAAACAACUAGAGUUGACAAGGAGAUCCAGUAUCCAGGAGGAAGUGUCAUAUAUAUAUCCUCUUGAAGGUCCCCUUACAAGAAGACAUUCUUGAUGUCGAAUUGCUGCAGGGCCCAGUCAAAGUGAUGAGCCAAAGUAAGGAAAAUACAGAUUGUGUUCAUCUUGGCUACUAGGGCAGAUGUCUCCUGAUAAUCAAUACCAUAUUAUUGAGUAUAACUAUUGGCAACCAAAUGAGCUUUGUAAUACUCCACGAAGCCAUCAGAUUGAUACUUCAUGGUAUACACUCAUUUGUAGCCAACAACAUGUUGUCUCAUAGGAAGAACAUGUUAGCAUCAGGUUUAAUUUUUCUCCAAAGCCAGGAGCUCCUUCGCCAUAGCUUGAUGCCACUCAAGAGUGUUUGGAGCUUCAUUCAUGGUGCGAGAGAUAGAAACAGUGUCAAGGGGCAUGAGGAAGGCAUGAUAGGAGGGAGAAAGGCGAUGGUAGGAGAGGUAAUGUGCCAAGGGUUCAAGAAUUUGAGGAGGCUGGGGGGGAGUAGGGUGAGAAAUUGGGACAGAAGAGAUGGGUGGACUCAAGUCAGAAGUGGUGGUGGACUCAGGCCAAAGACUGUAGGUAGAUGAGGGGCACAUUGGAUGUAGACUUGGCGACCAAAUUGAUGCAGUGGUUAGGGGUGGACAGAAGGUUCAGAGGCUGGGAGGGUUUCAGAGGGAGCAGAAGGUUUAGAUGUUUUGUUGUAUCAUGUUUUUCUGUAUUUUUUGAUAUUUUUGCGUACCUUGAAAUUGCAAUAUAACUUCAUGUACAACUUCAUUCAGACAUCUUGGAUAAAAUCUUAACCCAUAGGUACCUAUCAAUUUUAUGAGCUAUUGCAUAAUAUUUUGUUUUUGCACUUGAUGAGACUCACAAAAUUUGCAUCCCUUCUCAAAGAGUAUAUCUCCUAUGAUCUUGAGUACCACAAUCCAUUACUUAGAACUAACUGAUUUAGUAUAUCCUAACAUUCUUCCUAUACCUUACCCAACAAGACCUUUUAUACGAUUUAGAAGUAGUCAAUCCCUUUUCUUUGCAAGAAUAUGAAUGAAGUUUAUUUUGUGACCCCAGUGUAGAAUCCUAAUUCACCCUCCUUUUGAUUCCUAUAAUGACUUGGGACCAACAUUAGGUAGAUGAUCAUCAAGCUGAAUGGCUCCUUUCUCAGUGAUAAUAUCUUUUUUUCUUUUCAUAGUAAUCGCCUUUUUGAACUUCAGUUGAAGGAAUAUGUAGAAAACAACGCAGAGGUACUUAUCAUAUGGUUUGCAGCUUUAAAGUUGAUAACCAAAAGUAAUGAUAAGAUGCAUAGUAGCAUUGAGGGCAGAUUUGUUUAAGAGUAGUUUGAAGUAAAGGUUUGGUGGCGCCCUUAUAAAAUUUUAUUCAAGUUUGAGUCAAUCUUCUGUUUGAAGCUUGGUCAGGAUGUUAAUGAAUGAAAUAAGUUAAGUAUUCAUUGGCCGAUGCAUACAGAAAAUAACUUAUGGUGUAUGCAAAAUUUGAGGUAGAACUUGAUUUUUGAUCCCUGACAUUAAAGUAUCAGCACUUGUGUAAAGUGUCAACUGAUGAAAACUAAGUGUGAACAUUUGAGGCAAAAUAGAAACUGGAAAAAAGCAGGGAGAAGCGACCCCUAUACCUUAGGUGUUGACACUUGGAUAUGUGUAUGAUAUAAAGCUCAAAAUUGUCAGCAUGUAUAUAAAGAAGAAAAAUAAGUUUCGAAGGUGAACCCAUCAUGAGGGGGGAUCGUCACACAAUUAUAGCUUGUUGACUAACAGAUUGACUGCUAGCUUUUCCGAGUUGAAUUUCCAAUUUUUACAUCACCAUGCUUUGGCUUGAUUUAGUUUACCUAUCCCUAGUUUAUUACAAUAAUGACCGUAAACUUAGGAAAUAUAUGCUAAAUCUUUAAAAGAAGGGCUCUUGGGUUAUUGUUUACAACACUAUUAUGUUUUUGAAGUUCAUGGGCUUCCUAAUGAUUGUCAACUUUAUGCAACUUUAUGUUCUCUUUUCCUUGGCUUUAUUUUUUUCCUUUCUUUCUAAUGUUUGCAAUACGUUCCUUUUUUGGUUAAAGCACCUUUUUUCUGACCGUGUGUUGCCAUAUAUCAUGUAUUUCAGUUCUGAGCUGAUGAACAAGGGAUACCUUGUUUUCCCAGAAAAUCUCUUUUUGAAGCUUCCACGCCUCACAUCUGUCUUCAUAGAAUCAUGCUAACAGAGAUAAUUAACUCGGAUGUCAUAAUGCUGUUUUUGGGAAGCCACUCGUCAUCUUUCAAUUCUUCUUACUUUGGAUAUACAUCUUCCUAUUUAUGUAUCCUUAUUUACCAUAUAUAUUGCUGAAAUGAUAGUCUGCCAUAACCCAGUGCCAACAGACGACAUGCUAUUAAUAACACUGGAGUUUCUAGAUUAUCAAGGUUCCCAUCACACCAUUUAACGUGAAACUCUGUCCUCAAGAACAGUCAGCGCUUGUUGAUGAAAGAAGAGGGUGAUACAACCUGUGGCAGGCCAUUGGAAAACCUUUAGCCUAAUCGGCCUAGAAGACAGGGCAAAUAGGACCAGCCUUGACCCCUUCGCCCUGAGUGAGUAAGUUGCUAAAUUGUGGGCAGUACACAAUUAGCAGUGGAAAGAAAUAAGAUAAAGUUGUCCCCUUGGAUGGAAACUCUGGCAGUCAAAAACUAAAAAAGAGAGAGGAAGGCAUGAUGGCCCUCUUGAUCUUGAUGCUACAAUGUGUCUCAAACUCCCUCCUUGAUAUGUUUUUGUUACACUUCUUCCUUAAUCCAUCAAGGCAAAUCUUCUGAUUCCAUUUUCAUUGAAAAGGAAAAGAUGAAGACUCUAAAUGAGAGGUAACGAGCGAAAAAAUAGCAUGCCUCUUGCUUAUAUGUUGGGUCGCAUCUAGCUUCUAUUACUAGUUUUAAUUCCUAUACUGUGGCGGCUUAUAACUUGCACCUCAUUCCGUAUCCCACGAUCACCUAGUAUGUCAAAAGCCUAGGAACUUCUUAAAAUUUCUUGAAACACGGACCCAAUCUUUUUAUCAAUAGGGUAAUCCUUUAACAGAUGGUAUACACUUACACUGUCUUACAAUGGGCAUUAUGGGUAAAACCUAAUAAGUAAUUAAAGGAAAAGAAAAAGACAAAUGCCUAGUUAUGAAUAGUAUUGCACAAUUUCAUGCAGGUAUAAAAUUUUUAUUUCUUAAUAAAAUUAAAAAUUUUAAACAUUAAAGGUUAAGCAUGAUAAGUGUAGUGCCAUGAUGAUGCUAAUAAUUUUGAGUCUUCACAAGAGUUGCAUUUUUUAAUUGAUAUCUUUUAUAAUGGCAAUUCCAUGAAUAGAAACUAUUAAAUAAAAUCUGCAUGAGAUUAAAUUUUUAUCACCCCCCCUUAUUUCGGUUUCAAGGAUAUACUUUUGGUGACGGCCUAACCAUUAACGUGGAAUAUAUAAUGUUGUAUAGCAGUCAGAUUCAAAUUAUAAGUGCAGCUUUAUGGAUGAAUAUUUGUUAACUUAAUACUCAAAGUUCACAUCCUUACUUUAGAUUUAUCCACCUUUUCCCAGGUUUCGCAACUGUGCGUCAUGGAUGUUACUGGAAACAGGAUUCCUCUAAAUUCUUAAGAUGGCACUGGUAUCAAAACGGAUCAAUACAUUUAGCUACAAUCGAAUCAUAACAAGCAUAAUGGAAAAUUCGAAACUGAGGGCAGGAAUUGUGGCCGACUCAAAAUUGAAAUUAAAAACGAAGCUGAACUGAAAGCAAUGGAAAAAUAAGUCUAGCAUAUGACUGACAGUAUUUGCAUGGUUACCAGGAAUUAAGAUGACACUGCUUGUAGCGGAAAAAAAUAUAACUCAUUUGAAGUAGUGUUCAUUUGCCUCAGGAAUCUGAUGGUGGUAAUAAUUUACAUUGUUGUAUUGUGGUGUAUUUCAUAUUUGUGUUUGUAUUUAUAAAACCAUUGAUUUUAUAAAGAUUUCCAUGUAGGUUUUGUGUGUGGAUUGUAUUCUUGGUUGCUGAUCCAUUGUAAAGAUUAUUGUAUGUUUUUCUUUGGAUUUUUGUUUUGCAUGAGUUCCCUAGAUGCGAAUUCUUGUAUUAAUGACUCACAAAGAGAUUUAGUGGGUUUGAUGUCCUUGGACAAAAUUUGAGGUAGCAUUUCCUAGUUUCUUUCUGUUGAUUCUGGCUUAUACUUGCCUUUUAUGUUUAUUAACUGUUAUGCUGUGAAUUAUAAAGUUUUAAAUAUUGUAUUUCAACUCAUGUCAUAGUUAAACAACUCCUUGGCAGGUUGUCCAGUUGUGGGUGUGGGCUUUUCCGGCUCUUUAGCUAGUGUAGGUCCAAAACGUGGAGGGCACAGGUAUUGAUUUUCUGUCUGUUUAUUCGUUAGCAUAAUAGAGAAACUCCAGAUCAACUUGCUUGCACGUAAUAGUUCCGUUUGUGCACACUUCUUCACAUUCAGUUUCAAAUAACAUAUUUUACGAACUAAUUUUAAGAAUUCAUCUAGAAACAUCACGAACAUCAUGAACUAUUAUAUGCUAGUUCUACAUUUCUUUUGGUGAUUGAUUACCAAACUCUUUUUUCAAUGAUGAGCUUAUAAAGCUUGUGUAUCGAUGUCAUUAUGUUGUCAUUUUAAUAAGCAGUGAUCUUACUGCCCAUUUGGGGUAGAUAAGUAACUUGCAUCUACGAACUGUUCGUAUUGGAAGUGGAAAAUUGCGAAAACUAAUGUGUACAUGAAGGUGGUUUCAAAACUUUCUAAAGUGCCAAUUGGAGAAAAAUGUUUUUCGAUUUACGGUGGAAAGGCAUUGACUUUACGCCUUGAGUAUGCCUGAUAUGAAUUUUAUAUUUAUUUCCUAGAUGCUUUUCGCUGAUUGUCACUUAACAUUACAAGGUUUAUUUUAUGAAAUAUGCCAACAUUUUUCAUAUGCGGUCAGGAUGAGCGGGAGCUUGUUCCCUGAAUUUGUGUCUAUUUAUCGUUAAGUAGCUCUACUGCAAUCGGCCAAAAGCUGCCAACCUUCUACAUUUUGUGCAUCUUACUUCUAGAAAAAUUUUGGAGACCUGUGUAGCUAAGUGAUUUGUUCUUGUUUGGAAUGUCUACUCUUUGUCAGGGAUGGCAGGGACAGAAAUGGAUUUGUGGACUUUUCCAUACAUCAUAGUAAUAUCUAUCGAAAAAUAGUGAGAUUUUCUAUGGAUAUGUGAUGUUUUAUUGGACUAUAAAGGUCCUUGACGGAUGAAAUGAGGAUUCAUCACAGUCAACUUCUAUCGUUCUAAAUUACUCAAUUUGGUAGAAUGUGCCCUUGUGAUUACUUUAAUGGUGAUGUCCAUUUGAUGCUGUGCUCCCAAUCCUAUUCUUUAUUUUAGGACCUGAAUUCUCUUUUCUGCUUCAUCAUAGAGUAGAUUUCCGAAUUCAUGCUUAUAUCUUUGUUUUCGGAUUAUUUUCUAGUUUUUUCGAUUCAAUCUCGUCUACGUAAUUACAUUACAUGGAAUAUUUAGUGUUUUAGUAUCUGCUGCUUAAAAAAUAGGAUUACAUGAAUUUACUUUCCACUUCAUUGUCAGGACCAGAAAACAUCCGGUCAAACACGACCGUCUACUUUUCUUUUAUCCAUGAAUUCGAGUUAUUACAUUCUGUUUGCAGGUUUUUCUUAUCAACAAGGACAUCCGGUCGUCUGUGGGCAUCAAAUGUUACCUUAUGUAAGGUACUUAAUUCGUCAUCCAAACUGUCUUUCACUUUCUUUUCCUGGAAACCUUGCAAAGUUUCUGAUAUUGAUUAAUUCAUAUAGGGUCUGCGAAGUCGCGAAGAAGAAGACACGAUUUCUAGCAAAUUUUUACUGAAGGUACAAGUUACUCAAACGUACCUAUUAUUUUUUGGUAUUUAAAAAUAUUUAUUUAAAUAAAUUUCCUACCUGCCUAUUUUUUGAUCUUUGCAAGAAUUUGUAAUACCACAAGUGUUCUAAAAUUUACUCAUUUUUUGCAUUAUCACUUUUCUGACUUUUCGUGAUUUUGGAUUUGGAAAAUAAGCUUGUAAGCCAACGGGUGGUUUAUUGUUUAUAUCAUCUAAAGAGGGUAUUUUAGUUUUAUUAUCAAAUUGGUCUGGUUGUGACUUUUACCAUUUAAUUAUUUAGUUCUGAUGGCUCUAAUUUUUACCCAGAAUAGAUAAAGUUCCUGAGCUGGUGCAUACAACUGUAGUUCCUCUUCAAGUUUCUCUUGCUUGUUCAAUGCUUCAUUCACAGCUAUCAACUUCGCUAUUCCUGGAGAGAGAAGUGGGGAUGGUUUGGGUGAUUUUGUAGCUGAAUCCCAACCCAACAUUAUUACGCCGAAAAGUCCGACCUUUAACAAAAAUAAGAAUUGAAGGUAGACUUGAACCAGAAAAUUAAUGUGUCCGAACUCAACCCAUGCUACAGGCAUAUGCAGCAUUUCUUGCACUACAUUCUCAAUCCCUAUAGAAUUCUUUAGAUUUAUCUUAUUAUUACAAUUAGGUAGUCAUAUUUGCCAAACAAAGAUAAAGCAUUCCAAUUUGAGGGAAGAGAUUUUGUACACAGAAUACUGACACUCUAUGCUUCUACUUCCUACUCACUCUUGUCCUUCCAGUCUGAGGUGAUUCUACUGUGUGUUUGUCAAUUUUUCUUCUCUUUGAAGGUCCGUGCCAUGGUUUAAAAGUUAACCACUUUUCAAUCGACAGUUCAACUGAUGGCUUUAGUUAGUGUUGAUUUCUCUGGGAAGCCUCUGGAGGCACGAUAAUGAACACUAUGGAACAUUUUCAUAUUCGUUUACAAAACAUUUCAUGUUCAAAUCAUACAUUGUAAAGUUUUAAGUCAUGCCCAAAGUUGCAUCUUUAACAUGAUAUUUUAGAUAUUCGUUCUCUUUUCUUGUUUUCAAAAAAUUGGAUAUGCUUUUUUUUUCCUUUUGAUUAUUUCAUAGCAUUUCAAAUGGUUUCUCUCCUCUUGUUUAACAUAAUAUUGGUUUGAACUUUCUUCCUCGUGUUCUUAUCAUAAUACUUCUUUUUGUGCCUAUUAUGUCUAAGGCUAUUGCAGAUGCAUGCCAAGUUUGUGGUACUUCUGACAAGGAACUAACUGAAACGGAAGAUUCACAUGAAUUGGAAAAGCUGUUUGACGAGGAUCAAGAGUUACAGCAGCUUAUAAAUGGGGAAAUAUGCAUGAAAGCAUAUUCAUUUGGUAAUUAUUCAAAGAUUCCAAUGAGUUAUGUCUACAUGAGAAUAGUUAAGUUUUCCGUUUUGGAGAUAGAUCUUCUUAUUCAGCCGCAUGAACUUGCAGAUACUUGUACGUACAGUUCAGAUCAAAAGAUUAUACUUUCAGGAUCAUUUAAUCCAUUACAUGAUGGACACCUAAAGCUUUUGGAAGUGGCAUCAAGGUUAACAAUUAAUUUUAUGCUUCCGCAGAUAGAUGCAUGCAAGUUAAUUGGAGAUCCUUAGUAUUUGUCUCGAUCAUUUCAGUUGUAAAGAAAAAAGCUGGAUCUUUUUCAGGAUUUUCUUCAAAGACAAAAUUCAUCUGCCAUAUGGAUGAGACUCUAUCUUGAUGAUGACCAAUUAUUAUUGUGACAUCAAAAAAUUUAGCUACAUAUAGACACCUGUUUAUGAUUCUAUCAUGAAGUCAUCUCUUCUUACCUAAUUAACAAUGUGAGAACAUGCAUGAUUAUGAAAUAAUAAACUUGUUAUAUCUCUUUUAUAUCAGCUUUUUAACAUUCUAACUAUUUUUUAUUUUCUGUAGUAUGCUUUGCAAUAGGGUUCCGUGCUUUGAGAUAUCAGUUGUAAAUGCGGAUAAACCACCAUUAUCAAUAGUUCAGAUCAAAGAGCGAGUGAAUCAAUUUAAGAAAGCUGGUGUGUUCUUUUCUUUCGCUACUUGUUUAGUGCAACAUAUUUAGUUUUAAUUUGAAUGAUUGAUAAUGAUUAAUAUUUUAUAGGAUUUUUUACAUUCUGUGUAUUUUGUUUAGAUUUACGUCUAGUAUUCUCACUUCUAUUUAAAAGACCAGAUCCAAUGUGAGAUACAUUCUUCAUAAGAAAUGUUGGCCCAGGCAUGAUCAUUGGCACUAAAACUAAUAUAAUGAAACGAAAAACAUAAAUCGAUAUGAUAAUUUAAAAAUACUAAAUAUUAAAUAUUAUGGAAAAAUUAAGACUGUGUAACAGAAACCAAUAAAGGUUUAAAAUUCAGGUCAAUGAUUGUUCUCUUAUAACUCAUAACCAUGAAAUGUAAGAGCAGGCGAUCGUCAAAAAAGUAUCGGUAACGCAUGAGCAGACAACCUUGCUUAAAUACCAUGUAGAAACGUCAGCUGUCAGAUUACAAACUUCACCAUUUAUGAAUUAAAUAGUAAAUAAUAGGGAAUAAUUAAUACUGUGUUGCCAUAAACCAUCAAAGUUUAAAAUCCAGGUCAAUGAUUGUUCUUUUAUAACUCAUAACCCCGAAAAUGUAAAAGAAGACAAUUGAUGAAAGUAGUAUCAGUAAAGCGUUGGCAAACUAUCUUGAUUAAUAACAUGUACAAAAGUCAGCUGUCAGGUUACAAACUUCAUUAUUCAUGAACUAUUUCUGUUUUCGCAUAGUACAUUCUUUAAGAUGCUCAAUGAUUGGAUUACUGACUUCCCAUGUUUCGCAUUGAUAAUAUUAUAUAAAUUGCAUGCCAAGUUUUAGAUUACUCAUUUUAUCACAUCUACAUUUCUAUUUUUUUCACAAAUAUGUUCAAGGCAUUGCCUAAAUGAUGCAUUGCCCCAGGCUUCUAGGUUCACCAGUUGAGAACCUGCUUGGGUGCUCGCCAAAGUUGCCUUACCUCUGUUCUCCAACUCAUAUUGUUGUCAUCGUAGCUGCAAAAAACUAUUUGCUCUGUUCCAUGGCACAUGCUGUUUAACUGCAGUUGAAUGGACGCCAUGUAAGCACAAUCUAGUGGUGAUUUAAACCGUUAAGAUGAUAUUUAUUGCAUAUAUUAAUAUUUUAUAAAAAAUUAUUUAUUAAAUGGAGUUAAUUGUUUUAAAAAAUCGUGUUUACUUAUUGUUCUGAUUUAUAUUAGUUACUUUAAUAUUUAGAUAUUCCACGCGUAAAAUGUUGCUUUAUUUUAAGAAAACGGAAUCUAUUCAUAUAGCUUAAAGGAACAAUGACUGUCACUCAUUCAAAUUAUUUAUUUUAGAUUUUUGUAUGGUAUCAAUGCUCUUUGACACCCAAAGAUAUUCUUUUAUAGCCAAAGAGAAAAUACCUAGUUCACUGACUGUUAUUGAUUGUUUCUUCUACAGUUUAACAAUAAAUUAGAGGUUCUUGCCUUCUUGGGUUCAUAAGUUUACUGUCUGGAGAAUUCAACAGUUUGAUUUGUAUAUGUGUAAACUAUGCGAUAAUUAAGUAAUUUUCGUAGUACCAUGGUGAUUCGUUUCUCUACGCAGGGAAGACAGUGAUUCUAACAAAUCAGCCGUAUUUCUACAAAAAGGCUGAGUUGUUUCCUGGUAGUGCAUUUGUUAUUGGUGCAGACACUGCCGCACGGCUUGUUCAUGUAAGAAAUCUGAACUUGCUGUGUGUGUUGUUCAGACAAUACCACUAGAGGCAUGUAUGCUCGUUUUUGUCUAUACUUCAUGGGAUUGAUAAUUAUCAUUUUGCUAUAUAUAUAAUGAUUUUCAACCCUUCAUGUUUUUCUUUCUUUGUUAGACCCAUUAUAUAUAAAAUUGUUUUGCACUAUAUGAUGAGAUGGAUUGCUUUAAAAAUAUACUACUAUGCUCGUGAGUAUGGGUAGAAAUAACAGUACGAUGUUAGCUAUUGUCAUACAUUUACUCUUGUUGUUGAUAUGAAAAUGGUUAAAACCCUUUUUGCACUUGUUGUCUCUAAAUUAUAGCCCAGAUUUCAAAUGGGUACAAAAAAUACCUUUUUAAUGGUGACGUGAACGAGGAAGUGUUCAUGACGUGGCAAUUGGGAAUAACAUGGGACUCAUCACACUUUAUUUCAAGCAUGAUUGGUAUGCUCGGACAGAGUCAUUGAUUUGAGGACUACCGUUCUACAUUCAUAAUUUUAAUGCAGCCAACAUGAUCCGUCUCUCUUUUGAGAAUGGUCGUCUAGUGGUCUUGCUCUUCUUAUUACAUAAGUUAAUGGUACGUUGAUUGCUGUGGAUGAUUCCACGAAACGGGGCAUGUUAAAAAAAUUUUCAAUAGUCAUUUGGGAUAAAAGAUGUGGGCUAUUCAUUCACUUCUUGGGUGAAGCGCAUAGAUCUCCAGUUCUAUUCUUUUUGAAUCACCGCAUUCUUGCAAAAUUUGAUUUAUGUCGCUUGAUCAGAGAACAUCACUGAACUUAAUUCACGUAUGGAAACUAAUCUUUGGUUGAAAACUUAAGAUCACUUUCUAACUUUUGUAACCUUUCUUAUCUUUUAAUUUUACCGGACCUGGUAUUUCCUAUACCAUAAAUAGAACUUUUAAUUCUUUGUCAUUUACACUUUACUGGUAUUCGUAAGAUUGCUGACUACCUGAAAGGCACUCCUAAUCAUGGAUUGCUCUUCCCAAGUGGGUCUCUUCAAUCCUUGAGUCUAUAGGCUGUUGCAGAUUUGUGUUGCUAUCCUAAUCUGAGAUGGUUUUCAUUGAUUGGUGUGGCUGAUAUGACAUUAUCUGAUUUCAUGGAAGUUCAAGAAACAAGAUUGGGUUACCAAGCUGUUAAUUGAAAUUGAAUGUAGAGCCGUGUACGAAACACGCUUUGAGGUCAUCUGAUUGUGUGGUUUACUUCUAAAAUUAGGUUUCCUUCUUAAUUGUGCUGACUUCUUUACAUGCUAACAACACAAGUGCUAUUCAGAUUGCUGAAAAUACUUGUUUCACAAGUGCACAAAGCACGUUGAAAUCAAUUAGUAUUACAUUUCGUGGCACUUUGAAAGACUCAUCUCUACUAUAUUUACCUUAUAAGGAGCAGAUUGUGUCUCUCUUCACAGAGGCUUCGAUAUCUGAUCUGCAUCAACCUCUUUCCACCGAAACAGAUGUCUUCUCGAAGCCUUUGAUAUUUGAUCAGCAUCAAUCACUCUCCUCCGAAUUCCUUCUAAAAGAGUCAGCAUCAGUUUUAGGGAGAGUUGGAAUGCGCUCCAUGUAAUAUGGGAUAGAAGGAGAUUUAAUGCUGUUAAUAAUGAGCAACUGGUUGGUUUCUGUUUUUAACCUUUACCCUAUUUAGGGAGAGUUGUGUCCACCUGUAUUCUAUUAUUGCUUGCUUCUGUAAAAUAUUAGUUCACUCUUUUGUUUAUACAAAGUCCAUAAAGAGGCUCUGAGAUCUCAUAUUGGGGCAGGACGCUAUGAUCCAUUGAUCUUAUCAUGUUUCUCUUUGUCCACUGUCAUCUUCUCACCAUUGGCACCGACUCUUUCCUCACAUUGCUAGCUGUAGUCCUGUUCAGAGCUAAGAUGGUAAUUACAAGGUCACCACAUCAGCUCAUCUUCCAUUAAGUUUGUACCUGCUUUUGAAUGUGGCAUAUUAUCCUGUUUACAUAAUAUAGAGCUGUUCUGGCUCUAUUUAGUCUCUUCAGUUAUUGAGUGAAUGCUGAGAGAAGCUGGAGCUGAGUGUCUGCUUUUCUAUUUACCGUGCAAGUCCCGUCACCGAAAUUGGGUUGACCAGAAUAUCGUUGCCUCUUUUCCUCUUCUGGUGGACUCAUCCCUCCUGUCUCAACGUUCUUCUUUUUCCAUUCAUUACAUGUGCCCUUGUGUGGUGCUGUGGGUGAGCAGAAAGCCUGACCAUAACCCAAUCCUGAGAUUGGGCUCUGCAAUCUGGCUUUCUGAUGCCAUGGGCAUUGUUUCUAUCUAUCUUUGGUCCCAAUACCACACCUUGGUUGAGAGGAGACUCAAUUUGUAGCUAGAAUACAUAUUCUCGGAGAAAUUAGACCAUUCCCUGAUGGUAGAGGUCAUGGAUGAUGCCUUGGUCAGCAGAGGAGAAGACAACAGAAAACAGAGACAGGCAUAGGUGGACAUCAAUCCACCGUGUAGGGAUAUUUUUGCCUCCCAAAUCCUGCCAUGCCCUCUUUAAUGUAACCAGUCAGGCACCUAGCUUAAUCACUACUAGGUUCUAUUUUCAGUUUUUUCUGGUUAUUUUAACUGCUCGAUUUAUUCUUUUUUUGCAUCAGUUAUGAAUGUGGAUACUACGUAAUUCGCUGCUUAUUCCUCUAACUAGAUGAGGUUGAGGGUUGUAGCAUGAAAUAAUUUUCUGUAGAUCUAUCAGUCCUUAUGUAAAUUUCUGUCCCUAUUCUCAUUCUUUGUGGAAAGCUCUCUCUUUUAGAUUCUGGGGUGAAAUCUUUUAUGAACUCAUACCUGUCUUUUUCAGCCAAAAUAUUAUGGAGAAAGCUAUCACCAGAUGAUUGAAAUCCUGAAUGGCUGCAAAAGAUUAUCUUGUACAUUCCUCGUUGGUGGUCGGAAAAUUGAUGGCGAUUUUAAGGUGUGUCAUAAUGAAGUGACCUCAAAUAUUGUCAUUUGACAUCACAGAAAAGACCUUAACAAAAUGUUUAUUUAUCAGGUUCUUGACGAUUUAACUAUUCCAGACGAACUGGUGGACAUGUUCAUCUCGAUUCCCGAGGACAGGUUCCGAUUGGAUAUAUCAUCGACAGAGAUAAGAAAAAACCAUGGAAUUUGAGUCCAUUCCUACUUCUAGCUUUGGAAUGUGCCCUUUUGAUGCGUUAUUGUAUGCAUCAUUUUAUCCUUGUUUCUCCAAUAUUUCUGCUUUCAUCUGUUGAAUGGAGUAUCCCCCGCUAGGCCUUGGUACACUUUCAUUAGCUUCACUUGAAAAUCACUAGUUGUCUUAUGGGAAGUUACACCUGUGUGACCUAAGUGCGUCACCACCUGCAGCCAUUGAACGAAGUUUAGUACACCAUAUUUUGCAUUACUUACCUUACUGUGCGAUCUUAUCUUGUGAAAAAUUCCAUCUAUUUGACAUGUACAUAUAUCAUACCAGUAAUAUUGAAAUCUUAUGAGGAAAAUAGUUAACUGUGUUCUGUAAAUAGGGAUCACCUACAGGUUUUCAUUUAUUCUUCCCAGCAAGUUAAAAUACCAUAACAUAUUGUACUGAGGAUUCCAUCUUUGAUUGACUACAUCACAGGUACUGUGUUUAUACGUCCAAAUAGUAGAUUCAUCAAUAUAUAAGUUUGUCCUAUUUUCCUAUUUGGUUUAUUCUUGAUUCCUAACUUGGCAGUUUAACGCAAAUAUGGAAUCCUAGUUAAUUUCACCACACUUUCUCUCUUUUAGUAGUGUGGUAUGGCACUUCACUAUAAGCCUACUUACAAUAUCUUUUUUGCACCUUUCAAUCUUCACUGGGUUAAUUAGUCUCUACGAAGAAGUUUUCUGGCACCAUUAAUUUCCUGUAAUCUGCUCAAUUUUUGUUUGAGUAGAGUUUACAUGUUAUAAUAGCCUUCUUUAGUUCAUACUCUAGAACUCUUUGUCGUAUUGUGGGCAAUCUUCAUUAUCCUCAAGUGUGAUAAUGAAUGGGCUAUUACAUCUAGUGCCCAAUAACUCAAGUUCAUCCAUCUUUCUCAUUGCCUACCAGUGUACAACCAUGCUCUCGUGAAUCUUACGGUACUUGGAACUAGGGAAUCUUCAGAAACAUCCUACUGUUGUUGUGUGCCUUCUCAAGAAGACUCUCUUUAGAGCUGCACGGUAAGCUAUCAGUUAAAUAAUAUAGUGGGAACUUAUUCCAUGCUUCUUCUUUAUGGUUGCCUCAUCCUCAAUGGUGCCUUCUUGUAGCUUCAUCCUCCGAUAUGGUCUCCUUGCAAUGGACCACACUAUAUCUAUGAUUUGGGUUUUCAAUUGGUCCAUCAUGAAAUUUUAUCAUGGAAAGGACUUUGAAAUGUAAAUCUUGUUAAUGAGCCAUGCUAAUAUGUGAGAAAGUAAAGCUACACCCAGUGAAAAACCAAUACUAAUACCAGAUGAAGACUUAAAAGUUGUUCAAUCACCGUAAAAUUACAUUGAGAAAAUUCUAUUAUGUUUCAGCCCAAUAUAAGCAAUGUGAGGCAAACUGAUUAGUACCUCAAAAUUUGAGGCUCGUGGCCUGAAGGGAUAAAAAUAUUGACUACAAACAUCUGAAGGCCCAACAUGACUUGAAGCCUAAUAUCCAAGCCAAUGGCCCAAAAUUAUGUAAAUAUUUUUGCCUAAAACUUGCAACCUAGGUGGCUUGAAAGAGUAAAAAAGUGGACUACAAGCAUCUAAAGACUCAAAAUGACUUUCAGUCCAAUAUCUAAAUAGUUAGGUCCGAAAUGUGUAAGAAAUUAUAGAAUUGUAAUUGUUCUAUUUUUCAGUAGCUUUGAUAUGAAGGUUUAAAAUUCAUCUAAUUUAUUGUGAUUGUUAUCAAGUCAAGAGGUGAUAAAUAGUAAUAUUGUCUUUCUCUUUGAGAUAUUUCUAUUUUCUUGUGCAAUCAAGCAAUCCAUAUUUAAAUAAGAAACAUUAGGUUGAUUCUUAUGGAUUCAAGAAUUGUGAAAAAUAAAUCCUCAUUGAUUGAGAAAUUUGGUACCUCAAGGAUUCAAGGCCUGAUUUCUUUACUUCUUCAACUUUCUCUAUGCCAAUUAGUUGUCUUUUAGAGAUGAUAAUUUGAAUUUCAAUAAAUAUAUUUUGAAAUUUAUUCAAAUGAAUUGAAAUUUAUCUAAUCUUUAAAUAGAGUUAAAACAUAGCUUAGAUAUCAAGUUCAAUCUUGCAUUUAAGGGGGAGGUAUUUAAAUUUUUAAUUGGAUAAAAGGUUUUAUUUUUUUCAUAUUUCUUGUAGCCCUAACUUAUUUUUAAAGUUGACAUGAGUGUAAAUUUUAUUUGUGUAUCCUUUAAAUUUUAUUUAUAUUUUAGUUUUUGGUAAUAAGGCAUUGACAUUUUGAACUGAAUUUGUUCAUGAUGUGUGAAAGGUUGAUUCUUUAUAUUCUAGGUUUUCUUUGGAAACUAAGUUGUUAGCCAUUCUUUUUAGUCAAUCACUAAUAUUAUAUAUAUGAAGUUUGUCAACAUUAAGAGAAAGUAAUGUAGUUAAGAGUUUUUAUAAAAUGUAUGGAUCAUUUCAAGCAAACAUCAAUACAAAUAAAGUAAGCAUGUCUUCAUAAAAUUUCAGGGCAGUAUUAAACAUUUUUUAUUGUAGAAAAUUAUCUUAAACCCUAGAGAGAUGAAUCAGAACAUUCUAAUAAAACCAUCCAUAGUAUGUUCAUGUGUACUUGUUUUUCAAAUUUUUUUACUUAUAAUUAGGCAUCUUGAAGUUUGGUAUGUACCUGUAGCUUUUUACAUCAUAUCUAAAAGUUGGUAGAGAGGAGAAUGAAUUUCAAAAAUAGCAAAGAACAAGAAAAUUUUCUACUAUGUUGUGGAGAAAAUCAAGAGAAUCCUAAUUAUAGAUAAAAUAUUGUGAAAAAAAUCAAAAUGAAAUCAAGAAAAAUAACAAUGUCUAUGAGAGAAGUUACAAAUGAUGAUGGGAAAUCUAUUACAUAAUUCUUCUCUCUUCUCCAAUAAGAUUCUUAACAUUGAAAAAGGAUCUUAGAGUGUGCCAGGAAGGCUUCUUAACGUCUUCUUUUUUCUUCCCAUCGGAGUUUUUUCACAAAGACUCGCCAUAGUAAGGGGGAAGGGUGGAACAAGCAAAGCACACUUGUAGAGCGCAGUACAGCGGAGAUGUCCAAUACUAUUUGGUAGCCUUUUCUAUUAUUUAAUUUAGUAUAAUGUCUACUAUUUCUUCUCUUCCUUUGUCAACCACUUAUUUACUAAGGGGUUGUGCCAAGUGUUAAUCCUAUCUAAAUAGCACAUCAUGGG
RNAcentral lists this long non-coding RNA (47541 nucleotides) under Spirodela polyrhiza (greater duckweed). Its description in RNAcentral is "long non-coding RNA (SPOL_LNC001157)". Lineage: Eukaryota; Viridiplantae; Streptophyta; Magnoliopsida; Alismatales; Araceae. The record is from RNAcentral.